AGAGAGAGAGAGAGAGAGAGAGGUGGAUGAGUAUGAGGUACGUACCUGCUGCAGAAUGGCAAGGGCAGUGGUGCUGCUGCAAUUGCCAUGGCUGUAACUCCCACAAGUUCCGUGUGGAGUCCCAAAGCUCGCAAACUUCACCGAGGAAAUGACACGAUCGGAGUGAGGACAUUCGAGAUGGAGCACUGCGUCCUUUUUCUGUGCAGUGUUCACAGCAUCCACAGGUGGAGGGUGGGACUGAGAGACGUGUGCACACAAGCUUCCCGCCGCCCUCAAAGCGAAGGACACCAGAGUCGGAUCUCCACCCACUUCCUCGAAAAGAACCAGUCUAUUCGUAUUGCCUUGUUGGAUCAGCGAGCGAGGAACAUGGUACCUGUCAAACAAGCACCAAAACGAGUUGACAUGAUAGGAAGAAGAAGGCGGCUCUGCUUUGAGAUGGGGAAAUGCAAGUCUUACAGUGACUGAGAUGGCUGUCCACAGUUCCUGACGCACUUGCUCCCGCUGAACGGUCCUCUGUAGUCGCAUGAUUGGACACAGCCGCUCGGUGGAGAGGUAUACGUCGGCCAGUACCGGCCGAUGCUGUGGCCAUUCACCCAUGCCUCGCCCUUCCCCAUUCCGGUGAAGUCUAUUGCAACAGGGUCAUCGUGCUCAGGGGCAUCAAAGUACGUCUGCAAGAGGAAUUAGAUAGGCAUGUAUUCAUAUCAAUUUUGUGAAUCCACUGUAACAUUUUGUGCACUGAAAAUAUUCUCCAAUCUUUACUGAACAUGAUGAAAUUUACAGAGAGACAAAGAACUCACCAUGUACCAUGUCAGUGGCUGAUUUUUCGGCAAGGAAGAUAGUGACAUCCAUGUUGAAUUUUGUGUGUUGUCAUGCAAUGCCAGCUGUUCACCUUUGAGUCCAAUCUGCAUCAGCACACAGCUUAAGAUGAAGAAGCCAGAUGCCAAUCAUUGCCUUCUUAUCUUUGAGAAGCAUCUACUUUGAAAGCUUUAAGUAGAUAUCAGCCAUAUAUUGAAUUUUUCAUUUCAUAAACAUUAGAAUGAUAAAUAAUAUACAAAUUGCACACAAGAAACAAUUACUUCAAUUUUUACAAGAUUUUGAAAGAUUAUUAUUGUAUCUUAAUCACUCGGUUUACAAUAUUUUAGUUUCAUAACUAUCUGUCUGAAGCAGUAUGUAAUUGCAAAGGACAUGAGAAACCUGAUAAGUCCACUGGGAUGAAGAAAGAUCUCUUGUGGCAUUGUGGUUCUUCAGGAUCACACCAGUGAUUCCAGCACCGCUUAGAUCAAAAAAUUGACCAUAGUUCUGUGGAAGAGAGAGAGAGAGAGAGAGAGAGCAUAUCAAGCAUAUAUUCACAUAAAGCUAAACAAAUUGUAGCAAUAUAACAAUCUAAAGAAACAUUUCCAUAUCUUAGAGGGGAACACAACCUUAAGGCCUACGGUCGCACUUAAAAGAUCAAUUCUGUUCUGUCCUGAUGAAAGUGUGAUAACAUUCUCCAGUUUAAAACUCGCAUCAGCAUUGCUGCCUUGAUUACUUGCUGUAGAAAACAUGGCAUGCCAAAUUAAGCAGAAAACUGGUUAAGGAGGAAAGCCUGAUAGCUACAGGAAUAACAUAUGACCUGAUAAUUUGCCAUUGACAAAAACAUGGAGGACAUGACCGAGUGAGUCCACAUGCAGAGUAGUCUGAGUGCCAUUGAAAAGAAAUGGUUCGUUUCCUAUGACAUCAAUGCUGUAGGAGCAUGAAGAACAGGACAAUCAGUACGUGAUUUACAUCACUGUGUAUGUGAAGUUGCAAUAUAACUCUUACCUUAUUGAAUACCACAAGUAGUCACUGGAAUCAGCAGUAGUAUUUAUCUGCUCAAGCAAUCCAACAUUUUUGAAAGUAGAGUUGAUGGAACCAAUAGGUUCUGUGAAGAAUUUCCAUUCUGAUUCAGAUAUUUCAGAGGAACCAGUGGAUUCAUCUGCAGCCUGAUCGAAAGUUUUGGUGUAUUUCAUCUCCAAAACAGUUGUCUGGGAAUUUAUCUGCCAUUGACAUAGAAUCAUAUAAAAUCCAUGGAUCAGUAGCAGUUUUACAACAACAAGAUGUGGCAGUUGUACAUGGAUAAAUUGAACUAUAUUAAGUUCAUUAUAGGCAUUUUUACUUUUUGAAUGACUGGAAUUUAGAGAUCUUUCCCAUUGAGACUCAUCGUAAGAUAGUUAAGCAUACCUUUGCAGUAUUGAAUGCAACACUUUGGCAGUCAGGAAGGAUGCUCACAGACCAUGCAGGUAACUGGUAUGGUUUGCCAUUGAAAGUAACAGUUGCAUCAGAAUGGUCAUCUAUGUUGGCAAGAAAAGCCACACAUCUCCCUGAUGAUGUCCUAUAAACAUGGGCCUAAAGCAAGCAAAUAUUUUAGCAAUGUGACAGAAGAAAAAUGCAUAAAGCAACAUUAGUGUAGCAUACCAAAACAAGGGUGUUACAAUUAUAAAUCAACAUUGCUACAACUAGUAGGAUUCUAUUUACUUGCUUACAUGAGAAGUGCUAUCAAAGAGGUCCACUUGCAUAAAAAAAUCUCAUGAAUUCAGGUGUUCACAAGUUCUUCAAAUAAGGAACUGUUUGCCUAAUGAUAUUGAUUAGAAGUCCUGUAUCUUUGUAUUUCCAUGAGAUUGUCUUUUAUGCAUGAGCACAACGGCACAAGGCUACAAUAAUUCAGAACUUCUAUCUAUGCUCCCUCAUUCUCCAUAUCUUAUACAGUGCCAAUCUAAAAUUGAUAAUUCAAAACACAAAAUCUCUCCAUACGCAAGCCCUCUUGCAUAUAAAAAGAAAAAAGAGCAAAAAUUAAAAAGAAAGCUAUCUUACUAGAAGUACUCAACAGGAGAAAAAGGGGUCUAAUGUAGUAAUAAUAAGAACAGUAAAUGGUAUAUGCAUGAGGAGCAUUCAAGGUUGUGUACCUCUAAAUUUUUGCCAAGAGAAGUGUAUGUUGGAUCGGUUGCCACCAAUGCUUCUUCACACUGCUUUAUGACUUUGUGCAGAUCUCUCAGGUGGCCCCAUUUUGGCUGCCGAAGAAGUCCUGAUGAAGUGCAACAAGAACGAUAUAUAAAAAAUUGCAAGAGAAGAGAAAGUUGUUUCCCCUCCAAUUUGUAUGUAAAUCAAAUACAGAGAGAAAAGUUUCAGAUUGGAGGAUGCAACAUUUGGUGAUUCAAAAUGCUUAUAAUUAGUGCUACCACCAAUACAUCACUAAAAAUAUACUAUAUAAUCCAAAAAUAACAGAUUAUAUUCUUACCAUAUUCAUCAAUGGGAGAAUCAUAAUCAUAGCUUGUAGCAAUAAAUGGUCCACCAGAAGUGCGGCCAAAAUUGGUUCCACCAUGGUACUGGAAAUGAUAAAGAAAAGACAUGUUACUACGUUAUUUACUGAUGAAAACUUCGACAAGAUGAAAUAAACAACACUAUCUACAUACCAUGUAAUAGUUUUGGAAGGUACCACCACGUUGGAAGAACCUGGCUACAGCAAAUGCAAGGUCUUCAACAGGUCUGUAAGGCACUCCACCACCAAAAGAAAGGAACCUGGCAGGAAAGGAGACAGAAAUGUUUGGUUAGGAAAAGCUUUUGGUCUUGUAAGCAUUGCAUCGAACACCAGAAGUACCAGACACAACGAAACAUAUGGCUAUCGAGAGCUACACUGCCUUACCAUCCACUCCAAUUCUCUGUCCACAUCUUCGGUUUCUUGUCAGAGUUGGGCUUAAAAUUGUCACAGUAAAAUCCAUUGCAAGUGUUGAUCUGCAAAAGAGAACAUGUCUCGGCAAUCAAAUCGGUGCGCAACUCCAUUAGCAGAGCAGCAUUUUUGCUCAUCAAACAGAACAUCAAGAAAUGGAUAGAAUUUGAAUCAUCCAACUCACAAUGGGGUCAGGGGCAUUAUCUUGUUGGCACAUCACCCAUGGCACGCUCACAUUCAAGGAAGUAGCCAUGGAUGCAGCCCAAUCAAUAUAAGACUUGGCCGUCGGACCAUAAUAUUGCUCAACAUUGCCAUACUCAUUCUCAAUCUACCAUGGGCAAUAGAGUGGAUCAGCUGCAGUGAUCAAUAUCGAUCUUGUCGCAGAAUUUAAAUCAACCUAUAAAGCAGGAGAUAAGCACCUGAGACAGAAUGAUGGGUCCACCUUGGGAUGCAAACAGCAUUUCCUGCUUCAUCAUGUCCACAAUCUUUGUCGUGAACUUUUGCAUCUCGUUCUGGAAGAAAAGAGAUGUCAGAGAAACACUCCAAAAGAACAACUAAUGGGAACUCUCAACGAUCAGACGGGCAGUAGAAAUCAAACUAGAAGACACUUUAACCUUGAAGGGAUCAUUGUCAAUCCUGAACUUGAUAUUUGGGAUGAAGUGCAACCACACAGGAAACCCUCUGCAUCAUAUGAAAUCUCAGAACAUUGAACAAAGACAGACUAAUUAUGUGGAGGAAUGAACCCUUUACGCACCCGUAGUUCCACUCCGCGCAGACAUAAGGCCCGAUCCUGAGAUGAACAUAGAGGCCGGCGGCCGCCACCGUCUUAAUGAACUUCACCAAGUCCUUCCGCCCUCCAAAAUCGUACUGUUACCAAACAGACGUCUAUGUUAGAGAGAGAGAGAGAUGAGAUAUGUGAAAUAUCAGUGGGAAUGACCUGGCCCUGCACGGGUUCGUGGAGGUUCCAGAAGACGUAGGUCUCGAUGACGUCGAGGCCGCCAUCCUUAGACUUCUGGAUGAGGUCCGGCCACAUCUGCAGCACCGCAAGCUCUUCCGAUCAGCUAAAGCAUUAAUAGCGGAGAAGCUAAUACAUAGAGAGAGAGAGAGAGAGAGAGAGAGAGAGAGAGAGAGACCUCAGGGGUGCUGCGGGGGUAGUGGAUGGAACCGGAGAUGAGGACCCUCCGCUUACCGUCGAUCACCACCGCCCGGUGAUCGUACGACACAGUGGCCGCGGAACAUAGCUCGGAGCAGCAGCUGAGCAGCAAAAGAAGGAGGAGCAGAAGCGACGUAGACACGGGAGAAGGGAGCGUCGGGUGGGCUGCCAUGAGCAACUGUGUUGGCGUAAGAAGAAUGCGCGCAGGGGAGCGGUCGUGUUCGGUGUGAUCAUGCACGGGCAUGCAUCCAAGCGGCUCGCAAGAGGAAGCGACGUCUUCUUCUAAACACGAUGUAGCUUCCUAUUAAUAACUCUCCUCUUCCGUUGAUUACGCUUCUUUCUCAUCUUUAUUGCUGUUACUACUGUUAUUUCAUGCUUAUCUCUUAUUAUCUGUCCUUAACAGAUUUUAUUUCUUACGGAUAAGACAUUUAUCAACAGGUUGACUUCUUUUUUAUUUUUUCGAAAAAAAUAUUUUUUUUAUUGUGUUUAUUUUUAUUAUCUUUAUAUUAUAAAAAAAUUAAAGUAUUAAUUAACGAGGAUAUUUCAUUAAAAAAAUGACAUUGGAAUCAAAAGAAUCAUUUUGAUCGAAGACAAAUUGCAUUUUUUUUUCUUUUAUCAUGUGACAGAAAAUAUAAUUCAAAAAAUAUUUCCUCGAAAGACCUAUAAAAAUUUUAUUAGAAAUAGUAAAAAGAUAUUUAAAUUUAUCAAAAAAAAUAUCAUUAAUGUCUUGAUCAACCCAACGUUCCUCGAGAUGCCACCUACAUGAAGAUCGAGAUCAAAAAACUAAUUUGUAAUCGACACUCUAUUUUUUAUCAUUUGUCCCUUCUCCUACUGCAUUUGAAAGUGUGUUUCGAAGUGUGUCAUUUACGUGAAGGCAAGAAGUUCUUAGUUGUAAUAAAGCUAAUUCAACAACACGGUAAUCUGGCAAGUUCAGCUUGAGAUCAUAAAUAAACCGGAAUUAACAGUACAAGACAAAUGGCUUGAUUCAGAAAUGGCAUUCAUGGAGUUGAGAUAAAUGUCUUCUUGUUAACAGAAAUAUAAGCAGCAGUAUCCAAAACAUGGAUGAGUUUAUCUUCCAUAUUGGAAUGGUAAACAGAUGCUUGUCUGAUAUGCCAUAUCUUCUCAAAGAACACAAGGAAAAAGAGCAUUUAUUCGCAAGUAACUUGAACGUCAGGCGACAGCAAUUUAUUGAUGAAAGGUUCAAGCAACAGAUUUUUGAAGCUUAGAAACCAAUCAAUCCUGAAAAGACAUCAGACUCAAAUGUACCUUUUGGGUUAUAAAAAUGCUUACAAAUGAUGGACAUGUAUAUGGAAAAAACAUCAGAUCUUACCACCAAAACACUGCUACUUUGCUCACAUCAAAAUGCAAGUGCAAUGCCAUGAAGGAUUGCUGUCUGCAGUGCAGAAUCCGAAAUGGUAGAUUGUGUAAAAGAGAUGAUGAUCAUGUUCUAAUGCAUUCUGACCGAACCGAACUAUAAUUAACUGCACGUAGUUUCCUUGACGAAGCAGACCAAUGAAACAAAUCUGAAAAUAUGAACUAGUAAUCGAAUUUUUGAAGUCCUUGAUUCUCUCUUCUCUUCUCACAUCAACCUCAGAAGUUUGGACCUGCAGCAAGGAUCUCCUCAGCCAGUUUGGCAUCUUCACCAAUCUUGUAGUUAGCAAACACCUCAAAGUUCUUCCUGAACAGACCAGCCAGCUUUAGCAAAGUCUCCUCAUAGGCUGCCUUCUCUGGCCACUGUAAAGCACACAAAUCACCCAUGUCAGGCAACAACAUCUCCGCGAUCGACAUCGAUCAUUUGUUCUACAAACAACUGACUUACAGUGUUCUCCGGGUCCAAAAUCUCCGACGGCACGCCUUCAACUUCAGUAGGUAUCUCCAGUCCAAACACUUGUGUCUUCUUGUAAUCUGCAUUCAGAAGGCUGCCGGAGUGUAUGGCGUCGAUAAUUUUCCGAGUGUAUGCCAGCUUAAUGCGGCUGCCGAUACCGUAUCUGAAUAAAAGCGAUAAGGUAGCCAGAGUCGAUCAGAUCAAGUUUUUCCAUGAACUAUAGCCUGUAUCACCGAAAUGUGGUGUGUAAUCUCUUACCUUCCGCCAGACCAACCAGUGUUCACAAGCCAUGCUGUGGCUCCAUACUUCUGCAUUUUCUCAACCAGCAUGGCUGCAUACCGAGUCGGAUGGAGCAUUAUAAAUGCUGCCCCAAAGCAUGCUGAGAAUGUGGCUUGAGGUUCCUUGAUGCCCUCCUCUGUUCCAGCCACCUGUUUUGUGCCCAUGGCAACCACCAUGGAUACCAUUACCAACACUAGACAAGAUUCCAAGAGAAGUUUAGAGAGUACGCACCAGAGCAGUGUAGCCACUGAUGAAAUGGUACAUGGUCUGAGGCAGAGUGAGCUUGCUGACGGGUGGGAGAACGCCGAAAGCAUCACAUGCCAAGAGGAUGACGUUCUUCGGGUGCGGACCAACACAUGGUAACUUCGCAUUAGGUAUGUACUCGAUUGGAUAAGCAGCUCGGGUGUUCUCUGCAACAGCACCAGUAAUUCCAUCAAACAGUUUCCGGGCAUGUAAGGAACCUAUCCAAAUUCAUGCAUGCAGGAAGUCCGCUUUAAGAACAGUACCUGUGACGGAUUUGUCUGAAUAAUCUACUUCCCGUGUGUGCUCAUCGAAUACCACAUUUUCCAAUACUGCAAAUGCAAAACGAUUGCAAGAAUGAUACGCCAUCCAAAUCAAAAUGUAGGGCUAGAUUCGGAUGUUCACCUGUUCCAAACUUAAUGGCAUUCCAGAUAUCAGGUUCCUUCUCCAUUGAUAGGUCGAUGCAUUUUGCAUAGCAACCACCUUCGAUAUUUGAAAUGCCAUUCUCACUCCAACAGUGCUCAUCGUCACCAAUGAGCAGCCUGUUACGAUCCGUGGAUAGAGUGGUCUUCCCGGUGCCUAAAAAACAAUGAACAGACCAUGGAAAUGAGAAUUCAGGGAGUAGUGACGGGCAGGUGGCGGCACCACGUUUGACGAGCCCGAUCUUACCCGAGAGUCCAAAGAAGAGGGCAACAUCACCGUCUUUGCCCAUAUUGCAGCCGGAAUGCAGGGAGAGGAUCUGUCUCUUAGGCAUGAGAUAGUGCAUCAGACUGAACAAACCCUUCUUCAUCUCCCCGGCAUACUGUGUGCCGAGGAUAACCAUUUCCUUCCUGGCAAGGUUAAUGUCAAUGCUGGUCGAGGAGGUCAUGUAGUGCGUGUACCGAUUACACGGAAACUGUCCGGCAUUGUAAAUUGUGAAGUCCGGAGUUCCAAAGGUCUCGACUUCCUCGGGCGUCGGUCGGAUGCACCUGCCAUCCAUUCAUCCAUCCAGUCAUGGCACGUAGAAUUGGCUAUGCUACACAAAAAUUUCAUGCUUUCAAUGGUCUUCCGAAGCUACAGGAGCUGCACCUAUUUGUCAUCAUCCACUCCGACCGAUACUAAUAGAUCAAAAACCAUACAAGGAUGACUUCGAGCAUUGCAGACGACAACUGCAGACUAAUAUUCUUACUGUCACUUCUACUUACAUGUUGUGCAUGAACAAGGAAUGGUAGGCUCUUGCGGAGACGAUUCGAACUUUGAUCUGAUGCUCAGGAUCCCAGUUGAGAAAUUGAUCGUUCACAAAAACCUGUAUGAGGUAAAUGACAAGCUAAAUCCCCAAGGCAAAUUGCAAAUUGGAUGAAAGAAAUCGGCAUAGUAGUGGCGUUAAAUUGUCUCGAGAGUGACUCUUACCUUGUCCAGAGAGUUCAGGUAAUCAACUGCCCUCUCCCUGUUCACCAUGAAAGUCUGCUCAUCCAUCUCAAUGUUAGGUGAGCCCCUGCGUACGAUGAACGAUUCAAGGAGGAGGAUUCGCCAAACACAUAGUACGGCACACAAAUCUUACAACACAGGAUGUGUUGGGAGACUUACUUUCCCCACCACAACUCCUCAGCGGUUGUCUCAUCAUUGACGAUGCGUUUGUCCCUCGGAGAACGACCUGUUUUGGCACCCGAUAAGGUGGCCAAAGCCCCUGUCGAGGUUAUGAACGAUCCCUUCUCGUAUCUUAUGGCCUGCUCGUACAGCUCUGCAUCAUUGUAAUGGCCACUGCUAGUGUUAUUGUGCAUGCCAUGAGGAAAGAGAACUGUGGUCUUAAUGGUGUAGCGACGGCAACGAUGUGUGGUAAUUGAAGCUAUCACGAGGCGGCGUACCGGCAGGGGAGAGAUUGUGGAGGACGUGGGUGAACUUGAGAGAGCUGUCACUGACGCUGAUGCUUGGGGUGAAGUAGUGGUGGUGCACGGCGCCGCCCUUGGGCGCUUCCGCCUUCCUCGCCGGGUCACCCUUCACCACCUUCGGCCCCGUCUCCCGCGUCAGCGACGCCAACGACGCGCUGCCAUCAACAUCACAUCAAAUCGAGUUAGCACAGCGGCGAUCGCAAGGAGCGACACUACCGAACCAAGCCAUGGGCCACCGGAAUCCAGCAUCGUAUCUUUUGUCAGGAACACAAAUCUGACGGCGAAGAUUCUUUUCAUUUUUUGGCUAAUUGGACGGCGACGUUGGUAGAAGGAACGGGGAGGAGAGAUGGUGACCUGAUGGACUGGAGCCGGAGCUUGUGGCGCUCAUCCUCGGACACGGUGGCGAAGGCGGCGUUGCCUUGCAGCAGGCCGUCAUUCAUGGGGGUGCCGGGCAACGACCGCUUCUUCUGCAAGGAGUGGAGCUCGUCGAUGGUUUGCGCCUUAACGGGCAGCGCGCUGUCGUCGUGGCAGAUGCCAUCCUCCGCCUUCGUCUCGAUCCUCGCCAGCCCCUUCCCGCCGCCAUUAGCGUUCCCGAGUUCGCCUUUCUCCGCCAUUUCCCCCUCGUUUCUACCGAAAUCCAACUCUCAAUAUAUCAGCAAAACAGUGUAUGAUCUCAUCAGAGACAGCUUUAUAUACAUAAAUAAGCAAACGUUAUCGUCUCUAUAUCUUCUGGAACAUCGGCGCAUGAACUCAUCGAGUCAUCUCAUUCUCACCACCAAACGUUUCACUCGCAAACGAAGAAAAAGAAACAAAUACCUCAAGGCGAGCGAGCAACAGAAUAGAGAUGGUAACGAUGAAGAAGAAGAAGAAGAGGCACUAAGAGGAGAAGGAAACGGAAGGCACGACCAUGCAGUUCUCGUACACGAGCCUCACGAGAAGCUGUAAAGAAGAGAGGAACGAGUAAGAAGGCGAGCUACAGGGGGAGCCUUAUAAAGGCGCGCAUUGGGUCAUACGAACUUUCAUUCACCUUAUAAGAAUUCGAAGCAUGUGACGUGCAUCAGUACAAAUGGAAUAUUGUUCGUCAAGCCUUUACAAAGGGACCGUUCGACCCAUUCAAUGGCCACCGCUUCACCCGCGGCUGCGCGCAACCCUUCCGAUCCAUCCAUCAUACCUGUCCAUAUGUACGUAUCAGAUGGCACAGCACUCGAUUCGGUGGACAGUUCUCCGACGCAAAUCCAACCUCGGUGUAGGGGACGCUGCAUAGCGAAGGUGUGAGAGUCCAUCGGACCGUGGUGGUCGUGUCCACAUCAAUCAAUCUGUGGCUUCCACAUCGUCGACUGAGGUGAUGGAACGAGAACUGGAUACAAGCAUUUGGUAUUUCCGUACUUGAAUAUUAUUACGCUCUUUUGAGAGUUGAAUUUGAAAUCUUAUUCGUCAUGAGAUUUUGUAUGCUACCUAAGCAUUUUAUCAGAUUAGUACAAAAUAGUGAGAUUCUGUAUGCUAACUUAACUCCUAAGUAUUUUAUCAGAUUAGUACAAAAAAAUAUUCAUUGAACAUGGAAUCAAAAUGAAAAUCUUUAUAUAAUCCUAAUUAUAUACCUACUAAAAUUCUUUAAAGAGAUAUAACUGGGAUUGGGUUCAAGUAUUUGUAACAUCCACAUUGGAUUUGGAUUGAUAGGGAGAAUUAGGUAGGAAAUUUAUAGUGUCUUGGAGGAAGAAAUUAAGGAGAAGUACAUUGUCAUGCGAUGCCACAAUGGAGCUAAAACAUCAAGAUUUCGAUUCAUGCCUGAGAUGAAAUCUAAUAUCUCCAUACCAAGUGAUGUGUACACUUGAAUGUUUACAUGGAUGAAAACAACAGGAGCUUAAAGUGCGAAAUGAACAAAAGAAGAAGAAUGAAAAAGAAAACCUUUUAUUAUUUUUAAUCUAGAUUUUGAACCAAAGAGCUACCUUCCCUGCACAGAAUUGGCAAUCUGAGAUGACCUCUGUUAGCUCAAACAGAUGUUUCUUGUCAUAGAAACAUUAUGCUAGUGAAAUGCACUUGAUCAAAUUCAGAUGAAAAUUAGAGGGAAGAUAAAGGAUUGAUGAAUAUUUGACCGAGGAUCAAAUACUAUAAACAUGAUAAUGGCAAUCAUUUACCAUAACUGCACCUGCUAUGGAAUACAAAAUUGUCAAGUUUCAACUCCAGCAUUCCACAUUGGAGCACAUAUUUACACUAUAUUUUGAAUCUUUGAUAUCAUUGUUGAGGUACUUGAACAAGGUAUUUGAAAUUCUAUGACACAAAACAUUCUGGGAGCCAACAUUUUUGUCAUACUAUUUUCUUGUUAAAUGGUAAGACUAAGAACUGAUCAGCCGACAACAGAUUAACAGUGGAGAAUUUUUCUCUCUUUUUUUUUUUAUCAAACACAACUAACAAUGAAAAUGGCUGCUUACAGAGGGCAGACAUGAAAUCUGCACCAGAAUCCACUAAAAUGAUAGCUUUUCUAUGAUUAAUCUGUACAUAUAACGGUAUAUAUACCUUCCACAACAAGCAGUUACCAAUCACAGAACUGCCAAUCCGUCCUUGAGCGGCUGCCAUGAAUGAAAGUUUAUUUGUGUUAUAGCCCGCACCCACCACUGUCCUAUUGGAAGAAGCAGUACAGAAAAAUAAAUUGAGGUGCCUGCCAUAAACAAAGAGUAUGAUAUAAUUAACUAACAAAACUAAGCCAUUUUGUUCAGACAUCAAGAAAUAGUAUUGUGCUUAUAAUUUUGGUGGUCGCGUCUGAUAGGUCAAAGUAAUUUCAAGCAAAAUGUUGUGCAAAGUUCAACUAGCAUAACAAUAAAGUGUGUGUCAAAAUAGUUCAUGAAGGAUUUAGGAAUGCAACCUCAACAAAAAUUUAAAGCUGUAAAAAAAAAAAAGAAAUAUUCAUAUCUUAUUUCAUCUUUGAAGGUGUUGUGCUAUUUCUACCGAAAGCUGAUACAUGACAAGAUAAAUGAAUAUGAAUUUAAAGAACCGUCAGGAAUUAACAAUUUAAAACGAUUGACAUAAGAUCAAGAUUAUACCUGAAUCAUAUACCUUCAUCAUAGUCCAUUAUAAAGCCUAAGUACCUUUGGCAGCAGGGUAUCUAUAGCCUAGGUAGUCACCUGGCCUCCUAGAUGAGCAACUUAGACCUUUAUAUUGUCAAUCUUUUCUCAAAAUUCUAAAUUUUCCAAUAAAUUGAGAUUUUAAUGUAUUUAGAGGAUAAAAAUUACUGAACAAAACCACAACCUUCUCUAACUUAUGUUUCUUCAACUAUGACAAGAUGUUGCUUGCUUUCAGUAAAACAGAUCUCCCUCGUUCAAGUCUAUGUACUUGAUCACUUGUCACUAUGGGUUCUUGUUAAUUGCUCGACCACCUAUAGGUGUGGGCAAUGCCAAAGGCAUCUUGGCAGCAUAGGCCAUGCUGUAGAUUGCAUAAAAGUGCAUUCUGCUGGUGCCAAGAACAUGGCGGUGUAACAGGAAGUAAAAUUUCAACCUACAUACUAUUAUUGCAAUGGACAAGCAAAUUUAUAUGAUAUACAUGUCUAUAGGCAAUCAUAGACAAGAAUCACUAGAUAUAUCGACAUACCAAUAUAUAUAUAUUAUGUAUAUAUGUAUAUAUAUAUAUAUAUAUAUAUAUAUAUAUAUAUAUAUAUAUAUAUUAUGUAUGUAUAUAUAUGUAUAUGUAUAUAAAUAUAUAUAGGUAUACAUACAUACAUACAUACAUAUACAUAUAUACAUACAUAUAUACAUACAUAUACAUAUAUACAUAUAUAUAUAUAUAUACAUAUAUAUAUAUAUAUAUACAUACAUAUAUAUAUAUACAAACACGUAAACAAAAGGGUUUUUCAAAUGGCUAAACCUAUCUUUCUAUGCAUACAGAUCUCUUUUAAAAAGAUAUCCACGCCAUUCCAUGCACAAAUGCACAGGACCAAUAACAACAUAAAAGUCAGAAUAAACCAUGUUGAGGUACCUUGUGAAGGUUGCAGAUUCUAUGUCAAACGAACAAUAGCAUCAAGGUUCCUAGAUAACUGCCACCCUUCAGGAUAAGCAAAAUUUCUAGCUUCUUCAUGGAGAUGCCAGUUCAUGAUCCUUGAACAACCAUUUGGUAAGCCUUCCAUUUGACUUUCAUCCUCUACUAUCUGCUCUACAAAUGCACUCUCCUGCAAAAAAUGACAAUUUACUGUUCAAAAUUUCAAAAUUAUAAUCAAAAGUAAGAUUUGUCAUUAAAAACAUACAAAAGAAUUUUUUCAUGCAAGUAUGCCAUCAGUAUUUUUUAUUUCUAAAGGAUGGAAAAAAGAUCAAGAUCUAAAACAACGCAAACUAGGGGACCAUAUAGCUCACUAGAUCCACCUGAUGGUACUUGAGAAAUGAUAGAGAAAUGGAACUGUGUUGUUAAGAUGUACAUCUAAACUCAAAUCCUACAAAGUGCUGUUCAAUUGUUAAAACUUGGAAAAUGUUUAAGCUCAAUUGUAAACCCUUCAUAAAGAAACAGGGACUUUGUGUUGCUAGGUCAAAUAUUGCAAGAAAUGAAUUUUGAUGUUAAAUAUGCAAAUAGUUAAUACAGAGAAGCAAAAUAUAUAUAUAUAUAUAUAUAUAUAUAUAUAUAUAUAUAUAUAUAUAUAUAUAUAUUUAUUUAUUUAUUUAUUUAUAGGGAAAAGAUCACCUUAUCCGCCUUUGUGUAGGCCCAUUUUCUCCAAGCCCAAUUGUGUUACAAUUUGUAUCACUGACCCCACUUAAAAGAUACUUCACCAACAAACUAGUCUUUCCUUACCCAUAUGCCAAGUGACGACUAUAUGUUACAUUGUGAUAAUGAAAGGAGUCGAUGUCACUAAUAUGGUGCAAUGAUGGGCAUCCAAAUAGCAUGACAAUGAUGUUGGUGCACAAGUGGCACUUAUGUAGCAUCCAUUGGGCUUAAAAGCUAUUUUCUUAUGUUGACAUGGUUGAAGAAGAUACAACAAGAAGAUGUCAACCUUGUUUAUUUGCUUGUGAGGUGAUAAAAUAUUUAAGGUCAAACUAUCAAAAGAACUUCCUCCUCUAUACUAUUAUCAAACAAAUAACAAAAAUAGACAAGACAUUCUGGUGCACCCAGACUCAUGCAGUGAAGGGAUGAGAUGGUGCAAAUGAGUCUAGGUCCAUACAGAUAAUUCAGUGGACUACUGGAAAAUUGCUUAUCUAUAGUUUCAUUUAUAAAAUUGAACUAUCAUUCAUUCUUCUGUCAUUUCUGCUAUAGUUUGUAGUUUGGAUCACCAAGAUUAUACUAGAAGUCAAAACUGUGUACCUGAAAAUCCUCCUCCACGGUGUCUAGUUGCCGAAUGGCAUCUGAGUUUGAACGAUGCCAUCUCUCGUGAUCCCAAAGCAUUGUGCUGUUGAAUGCAAAUCCAGACAUAUCAACAUGAAAUCUGCUAUGUCUCCUGCUCUUCUCAUUAGUAUGCCAGCCAAUUAUUUGACUUCCAUUGCAUACUGGCCCUUCUAUUAUUACAUUAUUUUUGCUUUGAGCAAGCAUAGCAACAGGCCAAACACCAAAUCUCCUAAAAAAUACAAAUAGAUCAGUUGUGUAAUAAUAACUUGUUAACUUACUUGUUGAGGAAUGACAAAUUUCUAAAUGUAUCAUUUAAAAAAAUUUAGUCAGCUUUAUGAGAUAAAAUAGGCAAAUAUACAAUCCAUUUCCAAAUAUAAAAGUCCUACCAAAAUUGAUUUUUUUAUCGGUGUUCAGGUGGAGAACUUGCAUAAUUGCAUAUGAGUUUGCUCUUGAGCCUAAGAAAAAAUAUAUAUAAUUGAUUUGAACACCAAUAUAAUGAAACCGAUUGCCUCAAGGAUCUAGAGAGACCUUGAGUAAAUGUAGGUAGGUUCUGCUGAACCACUAAUGUUUCUGGUAAGCACUAGUUCAUCCCCCUUUUAGUGGAUGGACAAUCUAAUGUAUUCAUGAUUACUCAACUUAAUUCGCUAAUCAUUGUGUAAUGUCAUUAAUUCACAAAAUAUAUAAAGAAUAUCCUCCAUUCAAGAGGGAAUUCUUUCUUGAUAAACAUAUGCUACUAAUAGUUUUCGUUUUUACUGUUUCAGCCCAACAGCUACACAUGACAAGGACAUAAAGUUAUGGCAAUGGUAAAGCAAUAACCUUAAGGAAUUAAUGUCAGGCAGUUCGAUUCUGUAUUAGCACUAUAGACAAGGUAGCAAGACUCCAAGAAUACUAUCAUUCAGUACCUGAUGUCCCUCAGGUGCUGGAACAGCUCGAGCGAGUAGAUGUUGCUCUCGACCGCAAAGUACACGAUACCAUCCAGACGAUGCCGCUCGAUGUGCUCCAGCGCAGCGUUCCGCUGGUGGACGCCCCUGUCCCUGCUGUAGGUCGAGUUUUUCUUGCAGGCAGCGAGAUGUCUGUACAUGACACCACUGCGCCUGAGGAUCUCCGCCGUCUCCACGGAGGUUGCAUUCAUUUCCACGACGAUCCAGAGCAGGGGCGGCGACACCAGCCGCAGCGUCUGGCCCAUCCGGAUCAGGUAGUAUCUCUGAAAAGCUCUGUUGUACGUGGGCGUCACCACGAUCAGCAGCUUCCUCUCCCGCGAGCGAUCCUCCGGGAUGUCGUUCGGCGGCGGCACGUCGCCGUCGUUAUCGGAACGUAAGACCUCGAUCUCCCUGCCGCCGGAGCGGAUGUUGACGGCUCCGAGAUCCCGGCGUGGAAUGUUAUCGUUACCGGCGGUUGCCACGGCGGCGGCGGUGGUUAAGAUUGAGGAAGAGGAAGCGAAGGAGAGGUGGUGCGGCCGGAAGCCAAAGUCGUCGAGCUGCGCCAAGGGAUAAAGGCCGAUAAAGAAGCCGAAGGCGAAGAAGAGGAGCAACCGAAGGAGUUGUCUCCUCCUCCUCUUCCUCCUCCAUGAACUAUGGUGAUGUUGCAGCUGGCCGCGCGAGAAGAAAGGGACGGAAGAAGACGACGACAGAGCAGAAGAGGAAAGGGAUUGGUGCUGGGUAGUGUUAUGGCAACAAAGGGAAUGAUUGCGGAAGGACCGAUCGAUGAUGUUGGCCGCCAAUAGCGUUCGACGGAUCGACGCCAUGUCUCGGAAGCAUCAAGAAAGCAAGCAAUCGAUCGAUUAACCAACGGCGAUGAGAUGCCAAGGGGAUGGCCAAGGAAGAACGGGCGGAGGAGGAGGAGGGUUUGGGCGGCCACGAGAGUGGCUGGGUUUCUCCUCGAACUGCGUUCUUAUCGUCGUCGUCGAUCGUUAAAUUUGAUUUGAUUUGAUUUGAGUCCUCACUCACGGAAAUUAACCCACGUCUUGUACCAACCGUCGGACCCAAACGCUUCUCUCUCACGACACUGGCCCCGCACAAGCUCAUGUCAAUCUCACCCGGGUACGACAAGUUAGUAUGAGAAAAAAAAAACUCCGAUUCCGCCGACUCACAAAUCUACCUCACUUGUGAUUGGAUAGCAGUGAUCUCAAGUUAUGCCAUCUCAUCGUCGAGGCGUCGGCAGUAGGUUCCAAGGAGAGGGAAGUCGUUGGCGAAGUCGCGUUCCCUCGCCCAGCUAACUUCCCGGCCGCCUUCUCUUUGGUUGGACUCGGACGACUUCAAAGCGUCGGUUUCGUAUCGAAGCCUUCCGCUUGGGUACAACCACCGGACGAGCCACAUAUGUCAUGUCUGGUCUUUGUUUUCCAUGAUCAACGGAGUUGGUAGUAGAGUUGUUCUUGUUUUCCUUUUAGCUAUCAACAUUUUUUGAAUAUAUGUAUUAUAAUUUAGUUGAUUUUUUUUUCUAAGAUGUUAACUAUCUUUCUCAUAACUAUGGGGAUGAUACGAUGUGAAGAACUAUCGACACCUCGUAAUUGAUCGAUACCUUAUCAUCGUAUGAACGACGUUUCAAUGUUAUUCAAAGACACGACGAUUAUAACUAUACAAAGUCGAUUACAUACGAAGUUGAUCUAAUCAAACAUAAUCUUUUAGUCACGACCUUAAAUGAUACGUUCAAGACUCGUAGAACUUAGUUUUGGCGGAACGUGCAAGAAAUUCAAUGCAGCCAAUCUGAUGAGAGAAUUUUCUUGGAAUUUGUGAUUAGUUAUGAGUAAAUGUUCACAUCAUUAAGGUACAAUCUGGAUCAAUCAUUGCGAAUGCAAUAAAAUAGACUCAUCUUGAUCGGCUGUUUCCACCCAAACCAUGGUGUUCUGGUCCAAUUAAAUAUGACCAGAUAGCUAUUUAGGCUUCACUUGAUGAGUUAAGAAAUCUUUAGGUAGGAUUAGGUUUGUGUCAAUCUUGAUGAGUUAAGGAGCUAAUGAGCUAACGUAGGAAGGCAUUUAGAGAACACCAUUGUCAAACUAUUUGGGCAGGUUUGACUACAAAGUAUGUGUUGGAGCAGAAUUGGGGUCUUAUUGUUGACUGGAAUUCGAGUCUAAGAGAGAAUUAAGAUCAAAUUUUAGGCAUUUGUCGGACUCGAGUGUGAAUUGGACUCGUAUUUUCUUUGCUUGUAAUAUAUAGAUGUUGAAAUGUGGAAGUGACAUGUUAGGCCAACGUAGACUUACCACGUAACAGGCUUGAUAGGGAAAUAUGUUGAUGAUUGACUUAGAAUACUUAAUCAGUUGGAUUUGGUUUCGGUCUGAUUGUGUUAGGAACCUACAAAUUCAUUUAAAGUGUUUUGUGGUGUUCGAUGUGAUACCAACCUAUAUUAAAAUUAAUGUUGAGCAAAGUUGAUCUUUCUAAUGGGUAAGGUGGGUUCCUAAUGAUAAGAAGGAUCUAGAGAUGUCGAUUGUGUCUACAAGUAUCAGGAUAUGUAUCUAAUGGGGUGGGAAUAAGGGAAAUAAAUGGAUAUAUGAUAGAAGAUGAAGCUUGUAUGAAUAUGGGAUGAGGACGGAUAGAGCGCUCUUCACCUCGUCCCUGUACUAAGACAUUAGACCUGAACACCUAGCCAACCUAAUCAAAAUUAGAUUGGCUUGAGCCUAAGUUGAGUUGAUCGUAAGAUAAUUACAAGUUAUUUAAUUCGAUUGAACUAAAUUAAAUAAUAUCCAUAUUCAGUAAUAUCCUACUCCCUCACAACCUACAUAUCGGGGAAUUGAUUAAAUAUUUAACCAUUGUUAUUAUUUAUAAAUUUUGAUAGUAUUUUUUUUUCUAAAAUUGAAUAGAUUGAUUAGGAGAGUAUGGAGAACUCACAAGUUUUCCUCUUUUGGUUUGUAUAUAUAUGAGGAAUAAGGUAAGGAUAAGAGAUGACAUGGAGACGGAAAUAGAGGAAGUACUCUAUAUCUUGUUGACAUCCGUGGGAGGAUCAGACUUUAAUAGUUACUAGGAAAAAUAUUUCGUAUAGUAGAUAUAUUAUCUAAAUAGUUUUUUAUUUGACAAACGCUAAUGUGAUUGGAUCGACGAUUUAAGACCUUUUUCUUAGUGAAUAUUAUCAAUACUAUAUUGAGUGGAAUCACAGCCAAAAAGAAUUAUCAACUAACUCAUUGGAUUCCUUAAGAUUCAUCCCUUUCAUAUCAUUUUUUUUAUAGUUUAGCUUCAUUAAGGAGCAAAAAGUCCCUUUUUGGUAUAAGAACAAUAUGAAAUAUGAGUGAUCGUUAUUAUCAUUAAAGUGCAACGAUCCGAUGAAACAAGGUAGGGGUGCUACUUAGCAGCCUUAGGAUCCUCCUGUAUGAAAUGAGAAAGUAAGAUAGGAAAUUUACCUUUAAAGAUGUCCUCUUUAGAGAAGAAUGCUUGAUCCAAGUUGUUGGAUAAAUUAUGUAUUUGUUAUUUUAUUUUAUUAGAGUUGGAUUCUGAUCAUCUCAUAUAUCGAGCCCACCUACGUCCAUUUGUUAAAAUGUCAUAAGUGGAGUAUCGAAUUUGGGAGGAGUUUUAAAUAUAUAUUCUCAAUAACUACAUCGAUGAUGAUGUACUCAAUAAAAGUUCCUCCGAUACUUAAGUGAAUAUCCAAAGAAACUGAUUCAAACGAUAAAAGAGUCAAACUUAAGAAAAACGAGUUAUGUAUAUAGUAGCAUACAUGAGUAUUUUUAUAGUGAAUUUUUGAAACUCAUAAGAGGAUAUAUGGUGAGUUAACGAGAAAAAGUCAUAUAAAAUAAUUAUUGAACAUAUAUUAAGUUCGACUAAUCAUGCAUCCAAGUAAUUAUUGAGCUAGACAUGAUCUAGUCAUCAUUGUAUUAAUGGUAGUAUGGCUCACUUUCGAGUUUCAUUUAUCGAUAUGUUAUUUUUAUUUUUAUGUCAUAUAUUGGAUUACUUUUGAGCUAAGCUAUAGCAAUUAUUUGAUCCAACAAUCGUAGAUGACUUUGACAUGUUCUAAGCACAUAAAAGGCUACACGUUGAUGCUAUCUACGAUUGUAGAUGAUAAAUAUAAGGUCAUCUUUGAUGGUGUAUCAAAGUGUUAUAAUCGAUCAUUAAAGGUUCCACAUGUUCAGCUGUUAGUGAAGAUAGUUUGUGAUUUGCUUGUGCCCUCAAGUCAACAUUUACGCGUUGCAUAUGGGGUCACAGAGUUAGGCUUUGAAUCAUCUCAUCCAUCAAAAGAGGAAGAAGAAUGCAAGUUGAUUACUGUAAGAGGCAAAGUGAUCCUCAUGUCAAUUGGCUAUUAUGUCGCUUAGUAUGUUGCUGAGGACAUUGUCGAAAAUGGUCCCUCGUAAAUAAUAUCCAAUAUAUUAUUUUUAUUUUAGCAUACGAAAGAUAACAACAAAAUUGUAGUCAAUGAUGUUUACCCAACUCUAUCAAAAGAAUAAAAGACAGAGAGAGAGAGAGAGAGAGAGAGGAUUUAAAUCGAAUACUAUAUAGAAUUUCAAUUAAUAGUCGGAUGAUAGUAAGAUGACAGAGAUUAAUCACAAACGACAUAUAUGAGUUGUCCGAUUUUAGAGGGCUUUUUAGAGGGAUAAAUAACUUGUUUUGCAUUAAGUGCAGGCUAUCGAUUAAUGGCAUGUCUCAAAGCCCAAUUGGCCCAAUUAUCUAAUCGAUUUAUUUUGCUCCCAAAUGAGUAAGGAUCAAUUUUGCAGAGACUUGAUCAGUGUUGAAUGCAAUUUAGUCUUCUCAAUAGGUUUGAGAGAGAUAUAAGCAUCAACAGUAGAAAAAUUUCCAUACACAAGUGCCCAUACGACAUAAGACUACAAAGCAUGCGACGAACAAACCCUAGACACUUUGUCGUGAUGAAAGUUUGUAUGAUAUUUGCUCGUCACCAAUCAAUAUUCUUUCUAUACAAGUCGAAACUAUGAAAAGAUUGACCAUUUGUGAACAUGUCCGUGACAUUUGGUAUGUUCAUGUUUUGCAUAAUAUGUAGAUGGAUGGUCAAAGGUUUAAUAGUCCUAUUCUACUGGGGUUUGAUGGUCGCUUUAGGCUUGUAAAUAAAGAUAGUGUCACGUGAAUACUUGUGAGAGAUUUUCGGUCUGUAGUAAAUCAUUUUAACUUUUUUUUGUAUAACUGUUUAGAAUUUGUACAGUCUGUUUGUAAUUUGCAUUGUCUAUGAAGUGUUUUCGAAAAUAUUUGUUUGUGGAUCCUGAGUUAGGCAUUUCUCUAACUCGUUUUCUCUUUUAUAGAUCCUAAUGAAUCAUGGGAGGUUGACCUUUGAAGACGAACACGCAAGGGUGCCGCACGACUUAGCCUAAAUCAGUUAAGUCCAUGACAAUCGCAAGGAUAUUUUAGUAGAUAUUAUAGUUAAACUAAUAACUGUCACUCACUCCAUCCUUCUCUCUCAUCAUUGGUGUCGUUAAAUAAAUUGUUCGCAUAUGAUUGGGGUGGUGGUUAAAGAUAGGUAGCAGUCAGAAGUAGCAGCAGCAGCUCAUGGCUUGCAUGUCACUUAAUAUAAUCCACAAACGCAUCGCCACUGAUCUCCCUGUCUGCUUGUCUUCCUCCAUGGCUUCCCUCGAGCAAAUCAUUCACCUCAUCCAUGUGAUACCGCAACGUAUAAUAAUGGUACGAUUCCUGCAUUCAACUUCACACGACUGAUCCGAUGGAGGAAUGUGCUGCUGCUUCUGUGUCUACGUAUCUUCAUCCAUGUAGCAAUACUAAAGGUAAUGGGAUCAGGAAACCCUAGAUCGAUUUGAAGAAGAUGAAGGAAGAAGAAACCAGUAGAGUCUCGCAUGGCAUGGCUUCCCUUCCCCACGAAGCAAACUACGAGACCUGUAUCCCUACUUUCUCAGUAAAACGAUGAACCACGAUGUAUCACCCGUCCGACGAAAUGCUGCUAAGGAGGUGGGUUUCCACAUGGUAGACUCGUGCAUCAAAACCAUGCUUCCGGUGGUCAAACUGGAUCCGGCAAAGCUUGUGGUUGAAGGCAAGACGCUCUCUCUCUCUCUCACACACAUAUACAUGUAUAUAUUAGUUUCUUCAAGAAGGAUCUGCAACGCCAUGUGGGAGAUGUCUGCAGGUUGAUUUCUCAUGUGCGUCGCCCAAGUGUUGGACGAGACCAUGUUCGCUCAAGUGCGUGCUGCCUGCCGGUAAUUAAAGCUUGAUGAGUUUGACUCACAGUAGAGAUUCUGUCGGCGCCACUCGCAUGUGACGACCUACGUACGGUGUUCAUGAACUGAGAUGAGACGUACCAGUCGUUCUUCCCUGGACUGAGUUCUUGUGAUUGAAUGAACUCUCUCUCACAAAAAGAAAGAAGAAGAAGAAGAAGAAGAAGAAGAAGAAGAAAUAUGUCUAUGCCUUUUCUUAGUUUCGAAAAUUUGCUCAUAUGAUGACGAUCUCUAACUCUUCCAUAUAAUUCCCAGCCAUAUCUGUCUUUUAUCGUGUCGCUCUCUUUGUUGUCUUCGGAGUGCAAUCUAUCACUGCAAUUGGAUUGCAAACCGACUUUGCUAUUACGUGGAUUUCCGACGACCGGUUGUUGUCGGAGACAAGACUUGCCCAUAUAAUUAAUUUCUGUCAUGUUCCUCGUUUCUUUAUUUCCUUUUCCCAUCAAUUUCAAUGUGGAAAAGAAAGUGUCCAAUUGAUGCUCACUUCGAAAUUGACAUAAUUCACAACUAUUUGGAGUUAUUUUUUAUAUUGUUUUCAUGUUUCCCAUAUGUAUGAAAAAUAAUCGUAAAUGAUCGUAGGAUCUCGAACAUCCGAUUGAUUUUUCGAUAUAAUUCUUUCGACACUCAAAUUAAUAAUGAAAUAAAAAAAAAUUAAAUAAAAUAAUAACUAACCUUAAUUAUUAUAAUUUGAUAUUUUUUAUAAAUAAUUUAAUAAAAAAAAUUCUAAGUUAUAAACAAAAUAUUUGAAUAAAAUUUUAUAUUUGAUCGAUAUCUAUAUGAUUCAAUCAUUGAUCGGAUCCCUGACUAGAUUACCACAUGUCCAACCUUAAUUUACUGAAUAUUUUUCUAUCACAAAUCAAUCAUAUUAUAUGAGCUGUUCCCUAUCAUAAUAUUUUGUUAUAUUUUUUGGGAAAAAAAAUCACUGUUUAUGACAAGACAAAUGUGGUGUAAGAUAGGAGAGAUAUUGACACGUCAUCUUCCGACCUGAGGAUACGUAAACACUUGUGUGGUGAGAAUGUGAUUCAUAUAUGUUUUGUUUUCCGUGAAGACGACUUGCACUGCCAUUUCAGCCAAACGCACGUCAUCGUUACUGUUACGUUACAGAUCACAUCAUCGUCAUCAUCAUCGAGCCACGUAUUAAUCGACCCAUACUGCACGCUUUCCGAUGUGAUUUAGAGAGCGAGGGAUGUCAAACCAGCAGUCUGAUGAAGGCAUAUUCCGAUGACUGCAUCAAGUGAUGCUUUAGGCGAUAAUAGCAAUACUAAUACUAAUAAUAAUGACGAUAGUUCAGGGGAACGUGGCAGCCGGGUGGCGCGCCUCCAAAGGCAGCCGCGUGUCCACAGUGGCGCAAUGGCGACGAGAGAGAGAGAGAGAGAGGGACGUUUGGGCACAUCAACUGCGGCAUCCCACGUCGACUUCCACCUGUCCUUGGAGAUUCGGGUUCCGCACACCGCCACCGAUUCGUAAGUGGGAGUAUCUUUUCGUCUCGGCAUGCCGACGGAAGUGACCGCUCCGCGGUAGCGUGUGGGACCCGAGCGCGUCACGAGCGAGGCUUUGGCCACCGUGCCCCGGGUCCCGCACGGGGGCCCACGUAUGAGACGAAUGACCCAGCUCGUUUGGCAAAUAGGUUUUUCCGCGCGUCUCCUUUCGAUUUUUACGUUGACCCUCGAAAUUUUGACCGCGGAAGCCGCCUCUCUCGCUCUCUCUCCCCGGCGGUGAUUAAAUGCUGCUGUGCUGCAAAUUAGCAGCGGCAGACCUGCGCGAGUCCUUCCAUUGGACGAGUGCGGGCGGUGUUAAUGGUGGGGGUGUGCGUCAGACUGAGAAGACCUUAUUUUUGGUUCUACUCCCAAAAGAGACCUGGACAGGGCGUCGUCGCACGGAAAGGACGAAGAAGUCCAUUAAAGUAGCAAAGCUAUGAAGAGGAAUGGAGCGGUUGGACGGCGAGCAGAGAGGAGACAGAAAAGAACGGUUGCCUUUCUUUCUUCCUUUUUCUUUAUUUUAUUUUAUUUUUUCAAGUACAAAAGAUCAAUUAUAUUAAGUUGUAAAGUUUUAUGCAUGUAUCCGUAUAGUUUUAUUCUUUGAAAGUUUAUGAACUCUAAAAAAUUUAUUUAAGAAUAAAAAUAAUCUUAUAGACUUAUGAGUCCUUGACUAAAUAUUUUUAUCAGCGCUCUUUCCCAUAUAAGAGCUAAGGGCUCAAGGACCUUCUUUUAGCGCUAAUAUGAUAAAUUUAUUUGAUCGAUUCGUCAUUAGUGAUAGAAAUAAAAUAGAAAGAAAGAAGAUUGUAUUGAUGAAACUUUAUUGAAGAAAAAGAAACUUUAGUAUCACUACUGCUGCAACUGCUGCAACAAAGACACUUCUCACUCGAGCGAGAUGCGAAAACGAGGAGAGAUCGCUGGUCGGGGAGCAGUUGUGAGGUCACAUUGGCUCUGCCUUUGCAGGAAGAGGCAGAGGAAGGGCGACAAUAAAGAAUGCCGUCGGUGCAGGGAGAAGAAGAGGGAGGAGAAGAAAGCGUGAUGUGAUGGCCCUUGUUCAGCUUCGAAGGAGGCCGACGUAAUGAUCCUGGAGGACGUCUGUGGAAAACAUUGCACUACUUUGAGAUGGAGUCACGAUCCACGAGGCAGUAGGAGAAGGAGCCGAGAUUCGAUGGAGUCCAAUAGGGAGAUGGGUCGAGAUGUUUAGAAGUGGCCUUUACCACGAGAGCGCGAGAGCUCUGAUACUAUGAUAGAAAUGAAAUAAAAAGAAGAAGAUUAUAUUGAUGAAGUUUUAGUGAAAAAGAAGAAACUUUAGCUUGAAUGUAUUAACAUGCCACUCUCCUAUUUAUACAUAUUAGAAUAGAGGAUGCUAUCAAUUGGUACUGUCCGCAAGCUUGUGAAAAUUUAUUCACUUUGAGUAAUAGGCAUACCCGUAUAAUUUUAUCCCAUUAAAGCUACUAAACUUCAAAAUGUAUCUUUCAAAAUAAGAAUGACCCGAUAGACUUACGAGCCAUUGAUUCUCCUAUUUCUUAAUCAAUAUUGACUAAAUAUCUUAACGAUUAAAAAACUAUCAACUAAACUGAAUUGCCACCCAGCACAAUGAGAUAUUAGUGAAUCAUGAUCAAAUUUUACAAAAUCAAUCGGUACAUCUUUUAUUUUAUCAAGAAUUAAACGACGAGAUAAGUGAUUCGAAAGAAUUCCAAAAGAGUAGAGAGUUAGAUAUUACCUGUGCCAGGGGGAAAUAGUCAUGGGAGAAGGCUUUCCUUGCGGAUCAAAUGGACGAGAAGCAGGGGGUGUUUGUUCUCACCAUCUCACCAUCAAUGCUAAUGCUAGCAGGAGCCGUCGAAGGAUCGAAGGGACUCGCCUUUGCUAUUGGAACAUGGGCGGGCAACGGGGGCCAUCGACGAGCGUCCGUCAACCUUCGCCCCGUUAUUCACCUCCGUUUAUAGUGAAAUCGAUGUAGGAGAAGGAUGUUCGUCCAUGUCUUUACGACCCAAUUAUAUGUGGGGGAAUUGGAGUUGAUCUACAAAGAAGAAGGGUUGCUUAAGGACAGAUUGGAGAGGGAAAGUUUGCGGGGGGCGAGGUGGCGUCUGAUAGAUAGAUGCACUGUUGACUUUGAGAUCCAAACUCGUCUCGAUGCAGGAGCAAUUGUUACCGUCCGCAGUGAUGCCGAGCGCUUUUCUUAUCGUUCUUUUGGGGAGCUGUGUUUGACGCAGCAGAUACAAGUAGCUUUCCGGGAUCCAGAAACGCCUACUGCCUUUUUUACUCUGCAACGACAGUGCCUUCCUUAAGUGCAAAUCUUCGUAGGUCCCUCAGCUACCAUCUCCAGGUCUUGUCAGUCGAGGAAAGGAAAGAGAUUGGAGUGGUUUGGCUCCGGAGGGUGAGACGGGUGGCGGGGUGGUGAUUGAGAUCGUUGGUGUUGAUACCGGGAACUUUGUUUUAUUUGAUCUCCCGUUGCUUCUACUGCUGCUGUUUCUUUCUCAUGGAGAACGGCAGUCGAUGACGACGGUGAUGAUGAGGUGCUUGUGAGUGAUAAAUAGGCUUCGGAGAGAGGAAGCAAGGAAGCUGUGAGCGGAGGAAGGAAGCGAUGGGAACAGGAGGGUGGAAGAGAGCCUUCUGCACGUCGGUCCGUCGAGAUACGGAUGCUGCUGCGACGAGGACGAGGGUGGAAGCGGGGGAGAAGCAUCAGCGCAGCCCCAGGAGCUGCGCCAAGCUGAGCUUCUUCUCCGGCGGCGGCGGCAGCAACCCCUCGACGCCGAGGCUGGCGCUGGCGGAGGCGGCCCCGGGCCUCCGUUGCCGCACCAAGUCGAAGACUCCAGACAACAAGACGGUGCAAUGCGACGCGGCCACAUCUUCCGUCCCCACCGCCACCACUCCGAGGAGUCGGAGCCCCGCUCUGUUUCAUCGGCAGGCCUUCUCCGCGCCUUCGUCUCCGAGAACAGCCUCCAGAUUCGCCCUCUUCAAGCACCUCUCCCGGGUAUGGAAAAGCUUGCACCUUUACCUUUGAUUCCCGCUAUUUCGUUUCUUUUCAUCUCUUUCUUUUUAAUUUGGUCAAUGUUUCCUCCUCUCGAUUGCUGGAUCUCGUGAGAGAGUCGUAGCUUUUGGCCGUGGUGCGGCGCUUUGAUUGCAGAAUGAUGGAGGAAUGGACCGAACUCCCUCCCCAUCUUUUCCAAUCAUUUCAGCUGCUUUUUUUGUCUUUUUUUUCUCAGCCUUUUGUUAUGAUCGAAGCAUGUGAAGUAGUACUCUUAUUGUUGUCGUCGUCGUCGAAGGCUACUGUUUGUUCUCAUUCUGGUGGUGGUGGAACUGCAGAGCCGGUGCAGGAUAUGUUCGCUGAGCCUGAAGGCGAGCCAGGAGACGCCAGUCUUCACGGCGGAGUGCUCCCACGCCUUCCACUUUUCCUGUAUUGCCGCCCACGUCAGGAGCCACGCCAGCCUCGCCUGCCCCGUCUGCUCCGCCUCCUGGCGCCACGCGCCCUUUCUCUCCGCGCUCCGCCGCCGAGAAGACGAUGCACCCGAGCCAGGGGCGGCGGGAGAGACGGAGAACUGGAACCCGAAUAGGAGAACUACCAACGGCGGCAGCCGGAACACCAGCAAAGGCGGGGAACGGCAGCUGGGGGAGAACAGAUUGGCUGCCGGCGCCGCCGCCGCCGUUGUUGCUGCUAAGGUCUAUGACGACGACGAGCCGCUGCUGGUUGUGUCGAAGCCCAACCAGGGAGGGGUGAUGCGAUUCAAUCCUAUACCAGAAGCAGCCAACGAGGACAAGGAUGAGGAAGACGGCGAGGACGAGGAGACGGAGGACGUGGAACGAGACGACGAGUUUUAUGGGCUCCUUGCGACCCCUCGCGCCCGAUCUGCCAGCCGCACUGACGGAGGAGUCCGUCGUCGGCCGACAUCGAGGUCCAGGGCUGGUGGCGGCCUUGUGAGCGUGAUGCCGCAGGCGGCCCUGCUCUCGGAAGGGCGGAGGCACCGAAGCUACGUGGUGGUUCUUAAGGUAAAAGCGCCACCGAUAGGAUCCUUCGCCCCUCUCCGCGCCCCGAUUGAUCUGGUGACAGUGCUGAACGUGAGCCAAGGCAUGACAGGGGAGAAGCUCCGGAUGCUGAAGCGCGCAAUGCGGCUGGUGGUUUUCUCUUUGGGCCCCGGGGACCGGCUCUCCAUAGUGGCCUUCUCGGCAGCCGCAGGUGCUAAGAGGCUCCUCCCUCUACGACGGAUGUCGAGGCAAGGCCAGCGCGCCGCCCGCCAGGUCGUGGAAAGGCUCGUCGUGGUGGGCGGUGGCGCCGCCGCGAGAGGCGCCAGCGUCAGCGACGCCCUCCGGAAGGCCACCAAAGUCCUCGAAGACCGCAGGGAGCGCAACCCGGUGGCCACCAUCAUGCUCCUAUCCGACUCCAGGCAGCAGCAACCGGAACAAGAGAAGAAGGGGAGCAACCAUCAUGAUUACAAACCCCUUCGCUCGCCGCGUGGUACCGGCGGUGGCCAUAUCGGGCUUCAUCCUCUAGCAACGACGACCGCCGCCACUCGCUUCGCGCAUCUGGAGAUCCCCAUCCAAGAUGCUGGAUUUGGAGACGGUGGAGCAGAACGACCGCCACAGAAACAGGGUCAGGUGCCAUCAGAAGACGCGUUCAUCAAGUGCGUGGGCGGCCUCGUGUCCGUGGUCAUGCAGGACGUCCGCCUCCAACUUGUCUUCCCGUCCGGCGAAUUUUCUGCCGUGCACCCGUGCGGAGGUGGCGGCGGUGGCUGCGAAGUGGCCCUCCGAGGAGGGACUUCUGUCAUCCGGUUGGGGGACCUCUAUGCAGAUGAGGAGAGGGAGCUGCUUGUGGAGCUGAGGUUGCCGGUUGCGCCGCCCGGCGGACAGGGCGGGCACCACCGCUUGUCAGUGAAGUGCAACUACAAGGAUCCAGCCACCCAAGAUCUCGCGUUCAGCGCGGAGCAGAUCCUUCUCUUGCCGCCCCUCCUCCAGCACCACUCCGAGCUCGGCCGUUCUGCCUCGUCCUCCGCCAGCCCGACCACUUCCCUGCGCCUACGGAACAUCUUCGUCUCGACCCGCGCGGUGGCGGAGUCGCGGCGCCUCGCCGACCUCUCGGAUUACGCCACGGCCCGACACCUCCUCUCCUCCGCUCGCGCGUUGAUUCUGCAGUCCGCUUCCGAUGGCCGCCAGGACCACCACCUCGUCCAGAACCUUGACGCGGAGCUCGCCGCCCUCCAGCGGCGGCGGUACCAGGCGCAACACCGGCUUCAUCAUGAUCAGCUGCAGGAAGAGGUCCUCUCGCCAUCCGGGAUGAGGCGCCGGCGGCGGGAAGCUCCGGCGGAGGUGCGAGGGGAGCCUCUGACGCCCACUUCGGCUUGGCGCGCCGCCGAGCAGCUGGCCAAGGUGGCCAGCACGCGGAAAAGCCUGAACCGGGGCGGCGAUCUACAUGGGUUCGAGAACGCCCGGUUCUGAGUGAAGACCGACCCAAACCCUAUAAAUAAUCCAUUCUCCUUUCUUUUAUUGUAGACAUUAUUAUUCUCAAAACAAUGAACAUUCUCAUCAUACAUACAUACAUCCACCAAUUGAGUUAGGCGACAUUAAAUCAUCCAAAAAUUAUAGCUUGCGAUUUUGUCCAAUUUGUGCAAUAUUAAGGAUCCUAUCAAAGCCAUUCAUCCCACCUUAACUUUUAAUCUCAACCACCAAUUUGCUUUAUAAAAUCAACUUUAUAAUAUACAUAUGUAUAGUAUAUAUACAUAUGGAAGCAGCAUAUAGGUUUGAGAACAAUCAUAAGCUCAAAUACUACAUAACCAGUAAUAAAAACAAACUCACAAGAGAGUGGCUUAUUAAUUUGUUUUAUCAAAGUAUUAAAUGUGUAAGUGCUAAAUAUGGUUUUAUUACGCAUGUAUAUAUAUAUAUAUAUAUAUAUAUAUAUAUAUAUAUAUAUAUAAUUUGAGAAAACAUGAAUGGGUUAUAAUCUAUGGAUUGAAAGUGAUCAAAUGACGAAUUAAACCUUUUACUCUAUGUGGACGGGAGGGACAUGAUGUGGUAUUUGUCAUAUAGACAGGGAUAUAUACGUAAAGAAGUCCUAUUUCGACUUCAAGUCCGCCGUCGCUUCCCUCAUCCCCUCUCACACGACAAAUCCCUCAUCCGCUGUUGCCGCCUCUGCUUCGAUGCCGAAUCCUCCCAUCCCUCUGCUUCGCUCUUUUGCGCCGGUCUCCUACGACCACCUCGAUGGCGGAGCAGAUGCGAGGAGGAGGAGGAGGAGUUACUGCCGCCUCGAUGAUGUCCUCUUCUGCCGAUGGCUGCGACUAGAACGACCUCUGGUUCGUCUUCUCUUUUGGCCAUGCGGCAUUGGUGGUUGGAGUAAAGGACUCGCCAGCCAUGGCGGCUAGGCCUACGAUCCUACGUAUGGCCCAUGGGAGUGGACUCCUGUCCGCCCUCUCCAAGUGCAAUCCCGCCAUGGGCAGCAGAGCAGAUCACACUACCUCCCUUAUGUUGGAAGAGGAGGAGGAGGCGUAAAGCACAAACCUGUAAGGCCUGGAAUGUCGGUAGCCAAUUCUCUUAUACUUCAAGUCAGAAAGAGACCACCACCAUUGCCGCCACCUUCUCUUCUACUCUUGGAAGCCAAGCCAGGUUCUUGCUCUUGGGAACACACAGGAACCCCUCUCGAUGGAUUUUUCCUGCAAAGCAACCUCCUGCCUCCUCUCUUGGUUUAUAUUGGAUCGCUAAGCUCCCAUGGUUUAACACAUAGCUUGUAGCUUGAUUCGCAGAUCAAAUUUCUUGCUGAGGUGAAUGGGGAGAACAUUGGGCUUCUUCUCGAUUUUGGUGCUGCUCAUCUUGAUAAUAAGUGCCAGUUCCAGUGAUGACCAGAGAUUCACGACUGACAAGAUUCACUUCUGGUUUAAUGGAGAUGGAGAACAAGAGCAAGAAAGAGCCGGAGGGCUCAGCGACGAAGCAGAUUCGAUUCUGAUGCUGGAAAGGGGAGGGGUGGCGCGCGUCCCUGUGAAUGUCCAUAGCUUUGGUGCAGUUGGCGAUGGUGUAGCAGACGACACCAUGGUACAGCUACAGCUGCCAGUUCUCCACAUUUUUAUUUUAGAUUUCCUUCUUUCAUUAAUAUCUUUCACUUGAAAGUCCAAUCUGAUGAUUACAUAUGGAAAUCUUGGACUUAUAAUAUGUUAGGGAUAGAAUUGAGCCUAUGCCAAGCUUACUCAUAUCUAGCAAUAUUUCUUAGUUUACAUCACUUUUGCGCAUCCUUUUUUGUCAUUAAUGUAAUAUGAUAUUUAGCCUCCUUAUUAGAAGCUCUCACCAAUUCGGGAUCUUUUACUAUCUAAAUUGAUUCUUUAAAUUGUUUAUCCUCUUUUUUCACAUAAAUUUGGCGCAAUUAUUUCUGAUACAUGAUCCAGGUGAACACUGUGAUGGAAAACUGUGAAAAUCCCUUGAAUUUUCUAGAUAUUUGUAGUACAUACACUAGUUUGGAGAUUGAUCUGUAAUGCAAAAUACUAGAUUCUUGUAGAUAUACCUCUGAUAUGAUAUGUCACAGAUCAGCCAAAGUCUGAUAGAUUUGGUCCACCCAGUUUGCAUCUCUAUGUGAUUAUGGUUUUCAUUAUGUUAAAAAUUGGUAGUGACAAUGGUGAUCCCUCUUGAUAGAAAGCUUAGCUCCAUCCUUCGGAAAACCAACUAGGAGGGCCCCCAUACGGCUCCAGUAUCACAUUUAUUUGGUGCUUAUGUUAGUUCUGAUACCUUGUAGCUAAUUUCUUAUUUACAUCCAAAAUGUCUUGUAGGCGUUCCGAAAUGCUUGGUAUAAGGCAUGCUCUUUGAAGAAUGCAGUUCUUCUAGUGCCUGAGCGGCAUCGUUAUAAGGUUAAUGCCACUAACUUCAGAGGGCCCUGUCAACGGCACCUAAUUGUCCAGGUACUAUUUAUGUUUCUUGGCACCUUAUGUAAUGCAUUAUACAGUGCUAUAACAAGUAUGAAUUAACAAGGUCUACAAAUUGUAGGAAUCCUCAAAAACACCUGUGUAUGCUGCUUCUUUCCUUACAAUUAUAGUACAAAUGUAUAAAUACAGCUAUGAAGCUCAAUUGCCUUAAAACAUUCAUGAAUUACAAGGAUACCCUUCCAUUUUGGAAUUGGUCAGGUGAAAGGGACAAUAGUAGCACCGGAUGACCCAAAGGAUUGGGAUCCCAAGUACCCAAGUACGUGGCUAUCUUUCUCAAACCUAAACGGGGUCAGGUUCCAGGGUGGUGGGGUAAUCGAUGGUUCCGGUAGCAAAUGGUGGGCUGCUUCCUGCAAGAUCGAUAGAACCAAUGUAAGAAAUAACUCACAUCUUUUUUUGCCUUUUGUUAGCUAUGCUUUAUGCUCCAAUCUCACAUAUUUUUUUUUCACUUAUAUGCAGCCAUGCAAAGAGGCACCAACGGUAAGAUUCUUAUGCACUGCUUUUUCUAGUGCUAUCAUCUAGAUUGGAUGUUAGGUGGACAUGUGGAACAUUUUCUGUCAUUUUAGCCUUUCUUUUGGUCCAAGGUCUCAUGGAUUGAAAGUUUUUGAGUAGAGACUUGUCAGAUAUUUUGGUCUUUUAAUUUAUAACUUAAUAUGGUACAUAAUGCACUGCUAUCUUUAAGUUAGAUCCCUUCUGGGGAUAUAUCAUUGUUUUACUGAGGCAACCAAGAAUAAGGAGGAUUCCAAAAAUAAACAGCUGGGCAUGGCUAAUUCAUGAUUUCGUUUUUCUAGAAUAGGUGAGAAAAAAUGUUGGGCGUAUCAAUUUUCUGUGUCAUGUUAUGAUCCAAUAUAUGUCGAAAAAUAAGGGGAAAAACAAUUUGAGAUGGAUUGAAUGAAAAACUAUCUAUAUGUAUAUAUCACAUAUCUGAAUAUAUGAAGAUUAGUAGACAUGUGGAUAUAAAUCAGGUGCAUGAUGAUCUUGUCAGUGUUUAGGAUGGAUAUUGUAUAUAGUCGAGUGUAAUGUUAAUUUCAACACUUCCUUCUAAACAAUAAAUUCAAAGAAUAAAAUCCUAUUCUUAAUCAGGUGCUUGUACCAACAAAAGUCUUAAACUUGCAGAUUCUAAUUGGAAAAUUAAUUUCUGAAUGUUACCAAAUAAAAAAAUUUAUCUAGAACCUCCUAAUUUAGCAAUACAAAUUUAUAACAUUAGCACAAGAACCUGUUGGUUACACUGACUUAUGUUUCAGGCACUUACAAUUGAUUCAAGCACCAAGAUAAGAGUGAAAGGCCUCACUAUCCAGUUCGCUCAGCAGAUGCAUUUCGUGAUAUAUCGUUCAGAUGUUGUACGAGUAUCUGGAGUGCGCAUAUUGGCCCCAAAAGAUAGCCCAAACACAGAUGGCAUUCACAUUGGUGAGUCAACCGAUGUUGCCAUCCAGAAUUGCCACAUUGGAACAGGUACAUCUGCUAUCUGAAACUUCUUUAAAUGCUUGUCUGUGAUGAUUGUGUCAUUUCAAAGUAGGAGGCAUGCAUGUGUUAUGCAAGUACAACAAUAAUGGAUAUUAGUUGGAGUUACUCUUUAUUCUUUUUAAAAUCUUUGCAUCUUAGUGUAGAAAAAUUUGAGAUUAACCUGCAUGAUUGUGUAGGAUUAACUGAACAAAUAAAUUCUUGUUUGAAUUUUACAAACAAUGAACAAUUUGUAUCGCUCUUAUGUGUCCUUACGCAUAAGGCAUGACAGCAUCAACUUAAGCUUAAUCUCCCCAGUUGUCAAUGUCUACUGUAUGAACAUUGUUGAACUAAAUGGGAAAUCUAAUUUUGGACAUGAAAAUUUGUCUUUCUUUCCCCAAUUGCAUAUGCCUUUUUUGAUGUAUUUCUUGAUAUUAUAUCUCAGAUCAUGGCUAUAAGUGAAAACACUUUAACAAUAAAGAAGUCAUUUUUGUUGAUUAAACAGGGGAUGAUUGUGUUUCAAUUGUGAAUGCUAGUUCAAAUAUCAAGAUGAAGAAAAUUAUGUGUGGGCCAGGGCAUGGAAUCAGGUACCACCUAGUAUUGUGUUCGAAUUGUCUUGAAAAAACCUUGAAUGAAGAUUGACCUGCUGAUUAAGAGUGAUGAUGUGAUUUCUCUCUGUGGUAAUUUGGAUGGUUAGUAUAGGGAGCCUAGGAAAGGAUAAGUCAACAGGCAUUGUUACAGGUGUUGUCUUGGACACUGCAACAAUCUCUGGCACUAAAAAUGGUUUAAGAAUCAAAACCUGGCAAGUAAGUAUCCUGCAGUCAUAUGCUUGAUAUCUUAUAUGGCUUUGGUCUAUGGAGAAAAGAAAUGUCUUGCCUCAUACUAUCUACAUGGAUGAUUGCCUAAAGUCUCAAAUUGCUGAACAGGGUGGAUCAGGAUAUGUUAAGUCAGUGCGCUUUGAGAAUGUGAAGAUGAAUGAUGUUGAGAACCCGAUCAUCAUAGACCAGUUUUACUGUGAUUCCCCAGCCACUUGCAAGAACCAAGUAAGGUCACUUAAGCUUAAUUCCUUUGUUCACAUAAUAAAAAUGGUAUAAAGAUAAAAACAUUGAUGUUUAAUGACAUACCUGUCUUCCUGUGCUUUCUGCUUCAGUUCUCCAACCGAAGUUCAAAUUUUCUAGCAGUUGUACCUUGCCAUAUAAUCUGGAACUAUAUCUGUAACAACUAAGAUCUAACUGCAAGUAAUGCUAGUAAACAUGAUUAGAAUGCUUGGUUUCAAAUUUGUAAUUUUCCAUUACAAAUAGUCAUCCAAUUAUGUUAUAGAUGUAUCUACACGGCAUACAAAACUUUUGGUUUAGUGAUAUGGUCAAUUUUGGUGAUCAAUCCAACUCGGUGAAAUUUAUUCUGACCCAACUUGUUUUUCGAGUUGUUGUAUCAUGGCUCAAGGAAAAUUGGACCAUUUGUAUCAUGUAUGACAUAUCUGCACCAAGGGUGCAUUCAACUAAACUUCUUCGAUGUUCGAGGUAGUGUGUGUUUGUUCGUUUCAAACAUCAAAAACCCAUAAGGAGUUCAUAAUUCAUCUACUCAUUUUGAAGAAAAAACCUUUAAAAAGAUUAUUUUGUAUAGUGUCUGUUUUUCCACUGUCAUGGCAAUUUAGUAUUAUGUUGAUAUAACAUGUCCACUGGAUUCUUUGUCAUCUUUGAAAGUUGACAUGACAUGUCCAGCAGACAUUGACUGGAACUCUAUGUGCCGAGUCCUGAUUUAUCGAAAAUAAUGAGGAUAUCACAACCUGGUUGUCUUGGUAAUCCCUAACUUGCCUUUGUAGUGUUGAUAAACCAAUUCGAUUAGUAAGAGUUUCAAGUAGUAACAUCCUUAUCAUGGAAUAGAUUUUGUUUCUCUUAGUCAAAGAUUUGUGAAAAAUUCAACAAGAAUAUCUAGUAGAGAUGAUUACUUUGUUGAAAAUGUCCUAGAAAUUUGCUACCUUCUUGAAAUUGUUAAUAUCACUAGCAAGCUGUUUUUCUUUUCCUCUUUCUUUUCAGACAUCAGCAGUGAAGAUAAGCCAAGUCAUCUUCAGGAAUAUAAAUGGCACCUCAAGAACUCCUCACGCAAUGAAAUUUGCAUGCAGUGACACUGUACCAUGCAGCAACAUUGUCCUGAACAACAUUAACCUCGAGACGGAAAACGGCACAGCUAAAACCUUCUGCAAUUGCGCCAUGGGAUUCCACUACGGAAUUGUGCAGCCUACGGCGGAUUGCCUCAAGUCCUCCAGCUGUGGCGGAAUCCAGGAAGAUGCCCAAAGGCAAACUCAUGAUCCUACCCACACAGAGCUAUGAUUCCUCUCCUCAAAGAAGCCAUCACAAACAAGUGAUGGCAAAGUGCCAGAAGAUAAGGCUAGUGCUGCUGGGGUUAUUGAAGAUGUGUUCAUGUCUACUUUUUAAAGAUGGAUAAUUUACUUGGGUGGCUAAACUUGAAUUGUUGAAAGUGAAUACUAUGUAGCUUUGUACCUAUAGAACACUAAAAAAUAUUCUUUAUGAUCUUACAAUAAUCAAUUUCUCUUGCUUUCAAAUUGAAAGUUGAUAAAAAAAAAAAUCUAUGUAUAAUGUUGAUGACAGGAUGGAUACCAACAAGAAUGAAGCUUGAUUUUUUAUUUGUAAUGGUUCGAUAACAAGGACGAGAUGAGAUUUGAUUCCCUGAUAUGAUAAUAGUUAUAGUACCAUCAAAGUUAUUUUUUAUUUCUAAUCUUGUUCUAAUAUGAUAACCUAUUUGAUUAAGAUAAACUAUAAAAUUUUGAUUGCAUAGUAAGGUAACGUCACAACUCUGAAUCUUCAAAUAACACCGACUCAGUUUACAUGUAAUGAUCACAGUUGGCGACAUUCUUUAAUGCAUCACAACAGAUCAUAUCAUCCUAAAUACGUCCACAUCUAUUGUUCAACGCGAUGAUUAAACAUCCAAAUUAUUGUCUUAUUCGACGAAAUAUUAGCGUGUGAUUCCAGAAAUAUCUCCUCGCCCACUUGUCGAAUUGUGGCCCAGAAGAAGACAUCUGUGGUGGACACAGUCAACACUGCACAGUCAUCAUCCCAUCAGCCACGUUUAGUUCCUUAACAUAAGCGUCAGAACAUGAUUCCUACGAGACGGCAAGUCUUGCAGCUUACAUUACCUGCACUUGUGCGGUUGUCGUAGAGCUUUCGGCAUGGGCUGCGCUCCGACGAGCGCAGGCCCACCACCUGUCCGCAAACCUUCAGCUGCAAACCACGAGAAAAUCGUCGUCCCAACCCACCAAUCGAUCACGUAUUGACUCAUCUCUGAGUCGGAGGUUGAAGGCAGAGAAAGCAAUGGCGUGAACGUCUUCAACCUCUGCGCCUGCGUUAAGCAAAUCGCACGUGUACAGCUCUCGUGACGUGACGAAGCCGUGCAGCCGCUGUUUCUUCUGGUGCUUUCGCAAGGUAGGGCGCUACAAAAAUCUGCCGGGGAACACGGCCACGCGUCGCCAGAUGUGCGGCAGCGGCUGGAGCUCCCUCGGCGCGGGUAGGGAAUAUAAAGCGGUCCCCCGGGCUUCCCACCUUCCCUCCCGUCCAUGAGAGCGCAUCGAGCGUGUUGGUCUGGUGCAAAGAGUGCUCUUCCAUCAAGAAGAAGCAGUCCUCGGCUUUAAGAUGACGGUGACUCCCGGGAUCACGAUCAGCGACGGGAAUCUGGUGGUCUAUGGGAAGACCAUCCUUACCGACGUCCCGGACAACAUCGUCCUCACUAGCGGCACCGGCGCCGGCCUCAUGGCUGGGGCCUUCAUCGGCGCCGCCGCCUCCGACAGCAAGAGCCUCCACGUCUUCCCCAUGGGCACCCUCCGGUAAGUCCCCGCUCCUCGGUUACGCCUUUGUGUGUAUUGUGAUCGGUCGGAGAUUAACGGCCGGCGUGGUGCGUCGACCGCCAGGGGGCUACGGUUCAUGUGCUGCUUCCGUUUCAAGUUGUGGUGGAUGACGCAGAGGAUGGGAACGUGCGGGCGGGACGUGCCGCUGGAGACGCAGUUCCUGCUGGUGGAGGGCAAGGAGGCGGAGGCGUCCACCGUCUACACCGUCUUCCUCCCGCUCCUGGACGGCCCGUUCCGUGCCGUCUUGCAGGGCAACGACAAGGACGAGAUCGAGAUAUGCCUGGAGAGCGGUAAGCAAACAAUCAAGAGACCGGCCAACUGUAGAAAGUGCAGAUGCGGCGUUUGAUGUUAUUGCUGGCUCGUUUCCUGGUGCAGGAGACGAGGCGGUCGAAACAAAGCAGGGGAUGCACAUGGUCUACAUGCACGCCGGCGCCAAUCCCUUCGAGGUCAUCAGCCAGGCGGUGAAGUACGUCGCACCUGUUAACUUCGUAGCUCAAUAGGCUUCCUGAUUCCUUUCUACUAACCAAUUCGCUGUGGUAAAUCCGCCGAACAGGGCGGUGGAGAAGCACCUGCAGACGUUCCACCACCGCGAGAAGAAAAAGGUAAACACCCUCGUUCACGUGACGGGAACCCUCUCUCGCGCGCUGUCUAUGUCCGGAGAUUUCUGCAAGCUUCUUCGCACUGAUAGAUGACGGUGAUUGACGCAGUUGCCUUCCUUCGUGGACUGGUUCGGGUGGUGCACGUGGGACGCCUUCUACACAGACGUCACCGCCGAGGGUGUGGACCAAGGCUUGCGAAGGUGAAGACCUCUCUUUCUCCGCCGUAACUGCGGUGGCUCGUGAGAGCAUCCGUCGAUAACCUCUCGUCCCCCGUGAUUUCGCAGCUUGUCCGCGGGCGGUGCUCCGCCGCGUUUCCUCAUCGUAGACGACGGGUGGCAGCAGAUCGGCAGCGAGGUCAGGGAUCAGACGGCUGCCGUUGUCCAGGAAGGAGCACAGUACGCAUCACGACCCUCAGUCCUCCUCGUUCGCGAUGACCCCCGCGAGUGGUCCCUUCUUCCCGUCUCGUCAAGCUGCUUUGUGACUGGCAGCAGCGGCGGCGCCGCCAAUCACAAGGCAGAUGAGCGAGACGAGGAAGGCCAUGAAUUGAACUCUUGGUAGGAUCUCCGUUUGGUGGUGGCGUGUUUAAUGUGCGGUACUGUUGACCAGGUUCGCCAGCAGGCUGACGGGGAUAAAGGAGAACGCCAAAUUCCAACGCAAGCAGGGCGAGGGCGAGCGGCGCAGUGGGCUUAAGCAGGUAGUGGAGGAGGUCAAGAAACGCCGCGACGUGAAGUGAGUCUUAUACGCUCAAACAAGUUGUUAAGAUAAACUAGUCAGUAUUAAUAUAUAUUAACUCAAAAUUAUUGAUAGAUUAUAAGUUAGACUAUAUAUAUAUAUAUAAUUCUAUUUUUUAGAUAUUUAUUGAUGAUUAUUUUUCUUCAAUCUCUUUUCACACUUUAAUAUCUUUUAAUAUAUUUUUUAUUAAUGUAUGAUUAAAUUAUCUCUCUCUUGCUCGUAAAAAUAGAUGGUGUGAUCAAUUUUAUUCGCUUGACUCUUAUUUUCAACCUCAUGUUAGUUUAAAUUUUUCUUUAAUAUUAAAUUUAUAGGACUAAUAUAUUAAGUUUGAUAAAAAGGAGAAAGGAGACAUAUAAUUAUAUAACUAUAUAUAUUUAAUUUAAAAUUAUAAUAUAAAAUUUCAAUAAUUAUAAUUAUAUAUAUAAUUUAAUUAUAUAUGUAAUUAAGUUUUCUUUCAUAAUAAAAUAAUUAUUUUACAAUUUUAAUUAAUACUUAUUAUUUUUCUAAAUAUCUCUAAUGUUUUUUAAAAUAUUAAUAUAUUAAAAAAAUUCUCUAUGCAUGUGUGACUUAAUUGUAAGACGAGCGAAUGACUGUUCUGAUCCGAGCAAGCUGUUGUUGCAGGUUUGUGUACGUGUGGCACGCAAUGGCCGGAUACUGGGGCGGGGUGAAGCCGGCGGUGCAGGGGAUGGAGCACUACGAGAGCGCGCUGGCGUACCCGGUGCAGUCGCCGGGGGUGAUGGGCAACCAGCCGGACAUUGUCAUGGACAGCCUCUCCAUCCAUGGCCUCGGCCUCGUCCACCCCAAGAAGGUGUACAGCUUCUACAACGAGCUGCACGCCUACUUGGCCGCUUGCGGCAUCGACGGCGUUAAGGUGGACGUGCAGAACAUCAUCGAGACGCUGGGCGCUGGCCACGGCGGCCGCGUCUCCCUCACCCGCGCCUACCACCAGGCCCUCGAGGCCUCCGUCACCCGCAACUUCCCCGACAACGGCUGCAUCUCCUGCAUGUGCCAUAACACCGACGGCCUCUACAGGCAAUGAAGCCUCACCCUCUCCUCCUCUCCAUCGACGAUUCAUGCUUUGCAUACUAAUCUGAUGGUUUGACUGCGUCGGUGCAGCGCGAAGCAGACGGCGGUGGUGAGGGCGUCGGACGACUUCUACCCGAGAGACCCGGCGUCGCACACCAUCCACAUCUCCUCUGUGGCCUACAACACCCUGUUCCUGGGGGAGUUCAUGCUGCCGGACUGGGAUAUGUUCCAUGUAAGUGAGCACUCAUUUCUCCCCUGAAUCAAAUCCUUACUUGAGCAACACAAGUUUGAUAUGGCAACCUCCUCCUCUGAGCAGAGUCUCCAUCCAGCAGCAGAGUACCACGCUGCUGCUCGAGCAAUUGGUGGCUGUCCCAUCUACGUUAGGUGGGCGACCGCGUUCACAGCUAAGUGGAACCUCACCGUACGAUCCUUUCUUCUAAGCUUUGCUUGCACGUUGGCGCAGUGACAAACCGGGCCACCAUAACUUCGAGCUACUGCGUAAGCUAGUGCUGCCGGACGGCUCCAUCCUGCGCGCGCAGCUCCCGGGUCGCCCGACGCGCGACUGCCUCUUCUGCGACCCAGCUCGUGACGGCACCAGGUCGCCCAUCGUCUGCCUUCCUUUACUCUGCGUUGUGAUGGCGAGUUAUAGAGCUAAGCCUCGUGAUCCAUGUCGUCCUUUCAGCUUGCUCAAGAUAUGGAACGUCAAUAAGUGCUCCGGCGUGGUGGGGGUCUUCAACUGCCAAGGCGCCGGCUGGUGCAGGCAUACCAAGAAGACUCGCGUGCACGACGCCGCCCUGGGUACACUCACGGGCACAGUCAUUGCCACCGACGUCGACGCCAUCGCCCAACUCGCCGGCCCGGAUUGGGGCGGCCAAGCUGUCAUCUAUGCCUUCAAAUCAGGUUUAAUUACAUAACUUGUUGAUCGCUCUCUUCACCUGAUACGUCGUCAUAGAUAUGCUCAUCAUAAUCUCUCUUCAGGAGAGCUGAUUCGGCUACCCAAGGGAGCAACGCUGCCGGUGACUCUCAAAGUUCUCGAGUACGAGGUCUUCCAUGUCUGCCCUGUCAAGGUAUAUAACUACUUUUCCUGACAAUUCCUCGUUAGAUCGGUGCAGUGAAGGAGAUCCAACUGUGUACAUAUAUGCGCAGAACAUCACCCCGAGCAUAUCAUUUGCGCCGAUUGGCCUGCUAGAUAUGUUCAACACCGGCGGCGCGGUGGAGCAAUUCGACGUGAGCGUGACGUCAAACCACGCCGCCGCUGGACAAGACGACGGCCACGUCCCCAGCGAUCCGACGGCCACCCUGAGCACGGCCACUGUGGCACUUCGGGUGAGCGGCCGCGGGCGUUUCGGGGCGUACUCGUCACAGCGGCCACUCAGAUGCACGCUCGAUUCGUCGGACGUGGAGUUCAGCUACGACGAGGGGACUGGGCUUGUGACCAUCAACUUCCCGGUGCCGGAGAAGGAGAUGUACAAGUGGAGUCUGCAGAUCCAAGUUUAGAGGCAAAGCAGGAAGAUUUGAGGGUUGGGGAGUUGAAAUGUGAUGAUGCGUAGAUGACUACUAAUGAGGUGAUUUGAGGUGGAUGCAGCAACGUUCUAAUAAACAGCUAUCAUCGCACGAAACGAGCUCUCUGCCAUUGCUGACACAUUUGAAGCUUCUUCUUCUCAAUCAAAUGAUAUUAUGCUGAGAAGUUGACCUGUUGCUUUCAAACCGAUUGCCUGAGAUCUAAUCUACAGACAUUAAGAUCUGUGCGACAAAUAAAACAACAAACAGGAUUACAAGCAUCUUGAAUUCACUUCCAACUGACAGAAAAAUAACUUCUUUAUACUUAAAUUCAUUUGCUUUAAUUGCAUUAUAGAAAUAUUAAGUCAUGCCUUUGUCAUUUGUUUUAAUAAUUGAGGAAUUGCAUGACAAAAGCCCAGAAGAUCUACAAAUAGUAACUCUAUUGAAGUGCUAAUCCCAUAGAGCUAGGUUGAUUGAAGUCNNNNNNNNNNNNNNNNNNNNUAUAUAUAUAUAUAUAUAUAUAUAUAUAUAUAUAUAUAUAUAUAUAUAUAUAUAUAUAUAUAUAUAUAUAUAUAUAUAUAUAUAUAUAUAUAUAUAUAUAUAUAUGUUUGCGUAAACAAAUUUGGAGCCGUGGCCUCGGGGCCAACGCGGCUCGGUUCGGGUCCGGAUGGCGGGAUCUUCCCGGUGCGGCCCUCGGGUUCGCCAAGGUAGUCGGCUACGGCGGUUCGAUCGGGACGGCGUCAACCGUCUCCACCGGAGGGGGCUCCUCAGUUGGGCACGAGCCUCCCGACCCGACCCCUCCGACGAUCAAGUCAGUAGAUGGUGGAGGGGGUAGAAAGGAGAAGAGUUUGAGGUGUCUCCCUAGUGUGUUCUUUUCCUCCUCUCCCCCCUUGCUCGUUCAUAGCGCGAGGGUAUUUAUAGGGAAGCUUUUGUUGUUUGAUGUACCCGCUUGCAGGGGGUAGGCUGGUUGCGUCUGACAUUGGUUUGGCGUGGCGUGAAGAGCCGAGCUUGAGUGGGCGUUAAUGCGCCUCGGGCUGUGUUUCGGUUUGCUUGACCGGGUGUCGUCGCGUCGUCCGAGGCAUUAGGCAUCAUCUGACGUCAGCCAGGUCUUAUCAUAAUUACUACCCUCAUCAUAUUCCCCCCCGGAAAGAAGCUAUGCGUCGGUCGUUGUAACGAGAGUUCGAGGCAUGGCUUCAGCUUUCAGACGGGCUGGCCGUGCAGGCAUGGUCUCAGGGGCAUGAAGCCGAGGGGCACGACGCAGGCGGGCUAGCCGCGCAGGUGUGUCUCGGGGGCAUAGAGCCGAGGAGCAUGACGCAGGCGGGCCAGCCGCGCAGGUGUGUCUCGGGGCAUGGAGCCGAGGAGCACAACGUAGGCGGGCAGGCCGCGCAGGUGUGGUCUCGGGCAGCAAGGGGCCGAGGGGCACGACGCAGGCGGGCUGGGCGCACAGGUGUGUCUCAGGGCAUGGAGCCGAGGAGCACGACGCAGGUGGGUUGGUCGCGCAGGUGUGUCUCGGGGGCAUGAAGCUGAGGAGCACGACGCAAGCGGGCUGGCCACGCAGGUGUGUCUCGGGGGCAUGAAGCCGAGGAGCAUGACGUAGGCGGGCUGGUCGCGCAGGUGUGUCUCGANNNNNNNNNNNNNNNNNNNNNNNNNNNNNNNNNNNNNNNNNNNNNNNNNNNNNNNNNNNNNNNNNNNNNNNNNNNNNNNNNNNNNNNNNNNNNNNNNNNNNNNNNNNNNNNNNNNNNNNNNNNNNNNNNNNNNNNNNNNNNNNNNNNNNNNNNNNNNNNNNNNNNNNNNNNNNNNNNNNNNNNNNNNNNNNNNNNNNNNNNNNNNNNNNNNNNNNNNNNNNNNNNNNNNNNNNNNNNNNNNNNNNNNNNNNNNNNNNNNNNNNNNNNNNNNNNNNNNNNNNNNNNNNNNNNNNNNNNNNNNNNNNNNNNNNNNNNNNNNNNNNNNNNNNNNNNNNNNNNNNNNNNNNNNNNNNNNNNNNNNNNNNNNNNNNNNNNNNNNNNNNNNNNNNNNNNNNNNNNNNNNNNNNNNNNNNNNNNNNNNNNNNNNNNNNNNNNNNNNNNNNNNNNNNNNNNNNNNNNNNNNNNNNNNNNNNNNNNNNNNNNNNNNNNNNNNNNNNNNNNNNNNNNNNNNNNNNNNNNNNNNNNNNNNNNNNNNNNNNNNNNNNNNNNNNNNNNNNNNNNNNNNNNNNNNNNNNNNNNNNNNNNNNNNNNNNNNNNNNNNNNNNNNNNNNNNNNNNNNNNNNNNNNNNNNNNNNNNNNNNNNNNNNNNNNNNNNNNNNNNNNNNNNNNNNNNNNNNNNNNNNNNNNNNNNNNNNNNNNNNNNNNNNNNNNNNNNNNNNNNNNNNNNNNNNNNNNNNNNNNNNNNNNNNNNNNNNNNNNNNNNNNNNNNNNNNNNNNNNNNNNNNNNNNNNNNNNNNNNNNNNNNNNNNNNNNNNNNNNNNNNNNNNNNNNNNNNNNNNNNNNNNNNNNNNNNNNNNNNNNNNNNNNNNNNNNNNNNNNNNNNNNNNNNNNNNNNNNNNNNNNNNNNNNNNNNNNNNNNNNNNNNNNNNNNNNNNNNNNNNNNNNNNNNNNNNNNNNNNNNNNNNNNNNNNNNNNNNNNNNNNNNNNNNNNNNNNNNNNNNNNNNNNNNNNNNNNNNNNNNNNNNNNNNNNNNNNNNNNNNNNNNNNNNNNNNNNNNNNNNNNNNNNNNNNNNNNNNNNNNNNNNNNNNNNNNNNNNNNNNNNNNNNNNNNNNNNNNNNNNNNNNNNNNNNNNNNNNNNNNNNNNNNNNNNNNNNNNNNNNNNNNNNNNNNNNNNNNNNNNNNNNNNNNNNNNNNNNNNNNNNNNNNNNNNNNNNNNNNNNNNNNNNNNNNNNNNNNNNNNNNNNNNNNNNNNNNNNNNNNNNNNNNNNNNNNNNNNNNNNNNNNNNNNNNNNNNNNNNNNNNNNNNNNNNNNNNNNNNNNNNNNNNNNNNNNNNNNNNNNNNNNNNNNNNNNNNNNNNNNNNNNNNNNNNNNNNNNNNNNNNNNNNNNNNNNNNNNNNNNNNNNNNNNNNNNNNNNNNNNNNNNNNNNNNNNNNNNNNNNNNNNNNNNNNNNNNNNNNNNNNNNNNNNNNNNNNNNNNNNNNNNNNNNNNNNNNNNNNNNNNNNNNNNNNNNNNNNNNNNNNNNNNNNNNNNNNNNNNNNNNNNNNNNNNNNNNNNNNNNNNNNNNNNNNNNNNNNNNNNNNNNNNNNNNNNNNNNNNNNNNNNNNNNNNNNNNNNNNNNNNNNNNNNNNNNNNNNNNNNNNNNNNNNNNNNNNNNNNNNNNNNNNNNNNNNNNNNNNNNNNNNNNNNNNNNNNNNNNNNNNNNNNNNNNNNNNNNNNNNNNNNNNNNNNNNNNNNNNNNNNNNNNNNNNNNNNNNNNNNNNNNNNNNNNNNNNNNNNNNNNNNNNNNNNNNNNNNNNNNNNNNNNNNNNNNNNNNNNNNNNNNNNNNNNNNNNNNNNNNNNNNNNNNNNNNNNNNNNNNNNNNNNNNNNNNNNNNNNNNNNNNNNNNNNNNNNNNNNNNNNNNNNNNNNNNNNNNNNNNNNNNNNNNNNNNNNNNNNNNNNNNNNNNNNNNNNNNNNNNNNNNNNNNNNNNNNNNNNNNNNNNNNNNNNNNNNNNNNNNNNNNNNNNNNNNNNNNNNNNNNNNNNNNNNNNNNNNNNNNNNNNNNNNNNNNNNNNNNNNNNNNNNNNNNNNNNNNNNNNNNNNNNNNNNNNNNNNNNNNNNNNNNNNNNNNNNNNNNNNNNNNNNNNNNNNNNNNNNNNNNNNNNNNNNNNNNNNNNNNNNNNNNNNNNNNNNNNNNNNNNNNNNNNNNNNNNNNNNNNNNNNNNNNNNNNNNNNNNNNNNNNNNNNNNNNNNNNNNNNNNNNNNNNNNNNNNNNNNNNNNNNNNNNNNNNNNNNNNNNNNNNNNNNNNNNNNNNNNNNNNNNNNNNNNNNNNNNNNNNNNNNNNNNNNNNNNNNNNNNNNNNNNNNNNNNNNNNNNNNNNNNNNNNNNNNNNNNNNNNNNNNNNNNNNNNNNNNNNNNNNNNNNNNNNNNNNNNNNNNNNNNNNNNNNNNNNNGCAUGACGUAGGCGGGCUGGUCGCGCAGGUGUGUCUCGAGGGCAUGAUUCGAGGAGCACGACGCAGGCGGGCAGGCCGCGCAGGUGUGGUCUCAGACAUCAUGUGGCCGAGUAGCACGACGCAGGCAGGCAAGUCGCGCAGGUGUGAUCUCGGGCCGAGGGGCAUGACUCAAUCGGGCAGGCCGCGCUGAGGUGGGCUCGGCAGUCUAUGGCCUAGGAGCUCGGCGCAAGCGGGCUGCAACCGAGGGACAGGGCUCAAGCGGGCAGGCCGCGCUAAGGUGGACUCGGCAGUCAAUGGCUAAGAGAUGCAACUCAGGUGGGCAAGGCGCCCUGAGAUGGACUCGGCAGUCUAUAGCCGAGGAGCUCGGCGCAGGCGAGCUGCAGGCGAGGGAUACGGCUCACGUGGGCAGGCCGCGCUGAGGUGGGCUCGGUAGUCUAUGGCCGAGAGAUGCAACUCAAGUGGGCAAGCCGCCCUGAGAUGGACUCGGCAGUCUAUGGCCGAGGAGCUCGGCGCAGGCGGGCUACAGCCGAGUGACACGGCUCAGGCGGGCAGGCCGUGCUGAGGUGGGCUCGGCAGUCUAUGACCGAGGAGAUUUUAAGCCGAGCCGAGAGGGGGUCAGGUAGACACUGAACCUUGGCUCGAAAGAGGCCGAGGCAGAGCUUAGAUUUCUUUUCACGAGGACUACAUCGGGUAGCCACCGCGGGUGCUUGACCUCUCUUAUGGAGCCCGCGGUCGAGAGCCGUUGCUUCUCCUCACGGUCGCCCAGGCCUCCGCGGCGAUGUACCAGUUAGCGCGUUGGAGCAUCUCUGGCACCGUGGUGGGAGGUUGCUCCGCGAGGGACAAGAGGAGUCUGGAAGGUCGCAGGCCUAUCAUAAACGCCUGCACUAACAGAGAGGGGUGAGUGUCCGGCAGGCCCCGGAUUUGCGUGGUAAAGCGAUCCACAAAAUGAGAGAGGGGCUCGUCCUCCCUUUGUUUGAGUCCGAGGAGUAGUGCCGCGGAAGGCUUCGGCCGUGCAUAGGCCACGAAGUAGAGCUUGAAGUCCUUGACGAGCUGGUCGAAGGAAGUGAUCGUUCUGGUCUUUAAGGUGUCAUACCACGUGUGGGUCAGCCCUCUCAGAGUAGUAGGGAACGCUCUGCACAUCAAGGCAUCAGAGGUUCCGCAUAGCGCCAUUUGGGCGCGAAAAGCAGCUACAUGGUCCGCCGGGUCGGUGGAGCCAUGGUAAGCAUCCAGAGAGGGGAGCUGGAAGUCCAGGGGGACUGUCUGAUCCCGUAUCUCAGGCAUGAAGGGAGACCCUUGGUGUGCUUCCACCUUGAGCUCUCCCUUGGACCUGCGAACCUCUUCCUGCACCUCGUCGAGUCGCUGACUGACGAAGCGCAACUGGGCCCGUAGGGAGUCCAAAGAGAGUGCCUCGGGUUUCGGGCGGCCGCUCGGGUUUGCCAUCACUGGAUCCCCGAGUGGGGUCGGUCGGACCUGAGGUGAAGUGGGGGGCUCCGGAAGUGUUGUGUGGGCCCGAACGGGCGGCUCGUAUUGUCGCAACGGUUGGGCUGCAAGCGGGUGUGCCGGAUGAGGAACGAGCGGGAUGAUGGUUUGCACCAUAUCCAUCAGAGCUCGAACUUGACGGGCGAGGUCCUGGAAGGCCUCGGGUGACACGGGCGUCGAGUUGGCGAGGGCGCCAUCGGGCAGCGACAAACCCGGGUCGUUGAACAUUUGCCAGUAUCGUUCGGAGGUCGUGGCGGGGUGUUCGUCACGAUGGCCUCCGUGCGAGGGAUGUUCCCCUAAGGCUCCAGUCGGGUGCGACCUGUCAGCUGUCCGAGCCGCUCGGGUGAUCACCCGACAUUCUGGGCAUUCCUUCUAGCGCCAAAAUGUUUGCGUAAACAAACUUGGAGCCGUGGCCUCGGGGUCGACGCGACUCGGUUCGGAUCCGGAUGGCGGGAUCUUCCCGGUGCGGCCCUCGGGUUCGCCGAGGUAAUCGGCUACGGUGGUCCGAUUGGGACGAGGUCAUCCGUCUCCGCCGGAGGGUGCUCCUCAGCUGGGCACGCGCCCCGUUUGUAGUCCUGCACACAGGUCGGGUCGGGAGGCUCGACCCGACCCCUCCGACGAUCAACUCAGUAGAUGGUGGAGGGGGUAAAAAGGAGAAGAGUUUGAUGUGUCUCCCUGGUGUGUUCUUUUCCUCCUCUCCCCCCUCGCUCGUUCAGAGCGCGAGGGUAUUUAUAGGGAAGCUUGCUGUUGUUUGAUGUGCCCGCUUGUAGGGGGCAGGCUGGUUGCGUUUGACAUUAGUUUGGCGUGGCGUGAAGAGCCGAGCUUGAGUGGGCGUUAAUACGCCUCGGGUUGUGUUCCGGUCUGCUUGGUCGGGUAUCGUCGCGUCGUCUGAGGCGUGAGGCGUCAUCUGACGUCAGCCAAGUCUUAUCAUAAUUACUAUCCUCAUCAAUAUAUAUAUAUAUAUAUAUAUAUAUAUAUAUUGCACUAUUACGGUCAUGUCAUGCUAAUGUGGUACACAUCUGGGGUGAGAAAGGUCUAUGAUAAGUAAACUGGAUACGGCUUAUUUAUGAUGCUAUCUAAAAUGAGACACUAAAUGAUUGCUACAUAGUGUUUGGACUUAUUAAUUGUCCAUUACUCCUUGUAUGCUCAUAAUGGAUAGGAUGAGAAAAUUGGGAAGUGAAUACUGCCGUACGGUGAAUUGAUUCAUAUUUAGAAUAAAAUAAAUAAUACUUGUUGAGUGUACGUAUGAAUGUGGGGCCACCGCAUCGUAAUCCCAUCACACCAAGCUCGAAUCUCGACGCAAGCGACGGUCUUCUUUUCAAAUCUGAUUCGAACACCAAUAGCCUCGUCAUUCGUGCCACAGUUGAUACCUGCUCUGAUUCUUUACUGCUGACUCAGUCCCUUCACCGGGCUGCACACCCGAUUCGAAUAGCCGAAUGCCCAUAAGCUCAUCAGGGCCGUCCAUUUAAUCCAUCGCCGAUCGAAUCCUCCCGUGACAUAGGAUUCCCGUCACCGCCGAGUGACAAGGUCCGUUCACCUCUCUUGCUGUUCUUCGCACGUGAGUACAGUGGAAAGAUUUCGAAUCCAACGCGUCCUCCCACGCGUGGGGCGUACGCACGAGUAUGGGCAUUUUGGGAUGUCCACCAUGUGGUGAGCGCGUAUGCUACGCUGUAAGAACUGCCAAAAGAAGAAAAUAGUAUGACAGUCACACCCUCGAAGUUACUCGAGUCGCUUGCGAGUCGUUGAUUGGCGAAGAUGGUAGUAUGGAUGCGGGACCCACCUGAUGGACCCGAAAGCCGUAUGUAAAGGAAGUAUCCUGUGGCGCCACGAAACGUCGGUGAUUGCGGUCAAUCCGCUUCCAUCAUAUAUAACGUCCGACAUGUCUUGUUUCGUUUCGAGAUGCAUGUAAUACGAAGACAAAUCAGUGGUAUAUAACGGAGAUAGGUAUGUUUUAUUCUUUAUAACGUAUCGCAGGAGAUAUCGGCUUGUGACACGUUACAUCCAUGCAUCACACUUUACCCAUUCUGCCCCUCCAACGGAUACAUCCACGGAGGAGACGAAGUGAGCGAGGUGAUGCAGAGAGGGAUCGGACGAUAGAGAAAGGAGAGGAGAGAGAAGAAGAGUGUGGGUUCCUUUCGGGAGAGAGAGAAACAGGCGGAGGAGGAGGAGCGAUAGAAGCAGAUGGCGGCUCACGUUAGCGUGUGCCGCGGCCUGGUGGUGGUGCUGGCGCUUGUUGCCUGGUUAUCGUGCGCCGCCGCGGAGGGAGGGGGCGGCGACAGGGCGGUGAGGCAGCGCCUGGAGGUGCGACGGCACCUGAAGCGGCUCAACAAGAAGCCGGUCAAGAGUAUCAGGGUCUCUUUCUCGAUUUAACGCCACAUAAUGCUUCCUUCUCGCUGGAUUUUGCUUUCUGGUGUUCGGUGUGGUGACAAAUGAAACAUCAUUUUCUUUCGUCCUUUCAGUAAAAGAUUGCUUCUUCUCCACGGAAACCUUGUCGAUAGAAGUAUUCGGCUUGUUUCCGCAUAAUGCUGCGGUUGUUCCUAUUCUUUUUGUUUUGCCGAUUUCAGGAUUGCUGUAUUAUUGUGUCGAUCUCUCAUCUUCGUUGUAGCAUGAUGAUGAACUGGGCCAAAAUGUUUCAAUUUCGUUCUUCAAUAGCUAAAAGAGGAUUCUUUUUCUUCUAUUGCUUUAAGAAAUUCAAGAUUUUGUGUAGAUGUUACAUGAUGCAGCUUUCUUCGCCUCAUCAGAAGGACAUGCCAUCAAGUUUUUACCUUGCAUAAAAUAAAGUUCUCUUUCCAUCAAAAGUUUAGAUUUUUACCUCCUUUUUUCCAUCUAAAGAUUCUUUGGAAUCGUUUAUUCUACUUCAAUCAUUCAAUUUCUUCCUCUUUUGAUGUUUGGGGGGAAAAUCACAUAAAUAUGCAGAGUCCAGAUGGAGAUAUCAUCGAUUGUGUGCAUGUCUCUCACCAGCCUGCCUUUGAUCACCCUUUCCUCAAAAACCACUCAAUCCAGGUUCAUCUCUUUCUUCCUCCUCACUUUGUUCACUUCUUUUCAGAUUCUCCACUUUUCUUGCUGUAUUUUAUCAAGCCCUUUUUGCUGAUGUUUCCAGAUGCGGCCAACCUACCACCCGGAAGGCUUGUUUGAUGAGAACAAGCUUGCAUCACAGGAGAAGAAGACCCCCUCCACAGCUCAACUAUGGCAUCAGAACGGGAGGUGCCCUGAGGACACCAUCCCCAUCAGGAGGACAACCAGGGAUGAUGUGUUAAGGGCCAGCUCCGUCAAAAGAUAUGGGAGGAAGAAGCACAGGAGCAUCCCAUGCCCCUUGUCUGUUGACCCUGACCUUCUCAAUGAGAGUGGCCAUCAGGUAUGGUGCAGAAAAGCAACAAAGAAACCAUACUUUGGAGCAAAAGUUGCAUCUUUUCUAGACUUGCUUUUGGUUCCUGGCUCAUGGCUUUUGUUUCUUUUGGGUGUUUCUUGAGUAGCAUGCGAUUGCUUAUGUAGAGGGAGAUAGAUAUUAUGGAGCAAAGGCCACCAUAAAUGUGUGGCGGCCAAAGAUCCAACAACCCAAUGAGUUCAGUCUCUCUCAGCUCUGGAUAUUGGGGGGCUCCUUUGGUGAGGAUCUCAAUAGCAUCGAAGCAGGUUGGCAGGUAUAUUUCUGAUCUGCUCCAGACAAACCUGCAAUCUCUUUCUUCUCUGCUUUGGUACAUUGAAAGAGCUUGUGCAUGCAUUAAGUCUUGCUUGCAUGUAAUAAUCAGGUCAGCCCGGAUCUCUAUGGUGACAACAACACCAGGCUGUUUACUUAUUGGACCGUAAGCUAUACAUUCUACCGCUUUAUCAUCAUUUCUUUUCAUUAAUCCUGUCGUUCUUCCUUUUUCUUCUGUUGUUAUAAUUACAACUUUUGCUUAGAACUAUUCUAUCGCUGUGUCUACCAUGUUAGAGAUUCAAAACGAUUCAGAUGGUGUCAUUUCAUAGAUGACAUAUGCACAAUGGCUUUGUGAAUUGUGUGUUCUUUAUAGUAUCCAUACGAUGAAAUUUCAGAGUGAUGCAUACCAAGCAACUGGCUGCUACAACCUAUUGUGCUCGGGGUUCAUUCAAGUCAACAAUGAAGUUGCAAUGGGUGCCAGCAUCUCUCCGAUCUCCGACUACGAUGGUUCGCAGUAUGAUGUAUCCAUACUUGUUUGGAAGGUGCAACCAAGCCUCAAUCUGCAUUUGACAAUUCUUAUUCACUCCAUUUUCUGCGGUAAUUGGUAUGGUUCGAUUCGACGGAGCAGGAUCCGAAGGAGGGGAACUGGUGGAUGCAGUUCGGGAACGAUUACGUCUUGGGUUACUGGCCUUCUUUCCUCUUCUCUUAUUUGUCAGACAGUGCGAGCAUGAUAGAAUGGGGAGGGGAGGUGGUGAACUCGGACGCAGACGGCGAGCACACCUCGACCGAGAUGGGCAGUGGCCGUUUCCCGGAAGAAGGAUUCAGCAAGGCAAGCUACUUCAGGAACAUUCAGGUGGUGGACGGGUCCAACAAUCUAAGGGCACCCACAGGGGUUGGAGCCUUCACAGAGCAGUCAAACUGCUAUGAUGUGCAGAAUGGAAACAAUGGUGAAUGGGGGCAGUACUUCUACUAUGGAGGGCCUGGUAGAAACUCCAAUUGUCCAUAGAAACAAACCCUAAUCGAAUUCCCCCCCUUCCUUCCCCCUUGUACCAUUCUUCAGUCUGAUCCCAUCCUUAACUCAGAGGUUGUUUUGCCUGUUGUAACUCAUCCUCUCCCAUCCUUAACAAAGCUGGGGAGAGAGAGAGAGGCUGUGUCUGUGUUUCUCUGUCAUUUGCUCCAUCUUGGAGUCGUUUGUUCGGCUUAAGGCUAAAUGAUUAUAACCAGUGGAUCUCGACAUGGCUGAUGGCACUGCAACUUCUUUAGGUAGACCUAUUUGUUCUUACCCACUGCACGUUAUAGAUUCCCUGAGUUGGUCGGCAGCUUUUCCGAACAAGCUGAUGGGCGAUGAGCAGAGUGAUUACGAAGGAUCGGACGAGGCAUGACACAUGUGACAACACAGUAGGCUGUGGGUCUCUUUCAAGCUUGUGAUCACUUUUGAUAUUGUUGUCAGACGAUUUACUUUUUGAGUUGCCAGCUUCUUCUGUGUUCAUGUGAGGUGGUGCCGGUGGUGGUGGUGGUGGUGGAGCUGUCCCUGCUGUGUGACAAAAUGUCUCUUCUACCACUAUUUCUUUUACGGGGGGUGGUGGGAUUUUGGAGGCAUAUAUCCUACUGAUAGCUAUGCGAGAAUGCAAUGCUUCUUCAAUGAUCCAUAGGAUGUGGGAGAAAGUUGGUGGAGGAUCAAAUCAUGAGGUAUUGUUAUAAGGGGGUGUAAGAGAACACCAAAUGAGAAAUCUGAAAAUAAUAUAUAUAUAUAUAUAUAUAUUCUCAAAAUUCAUCCUAUCAUUUUCUUCUGUUUUUCUUUUCCCUUUAAGCUUGAAAAAUCAAUUAAUUUUAGUUAAUUGUAAAUAUUGCAUCAUUUGAUCUGCCUCUCUUACAACUCUUAUUUGUUCUGUCUUGCCCAGACGAUCACCAACUCACUAGGAAUACCACACCUUAUCCCAGUUUACUACUCCCAUAUUUAUGAGUGGCUGAUGAUUACAAUGAAUUUAUUUAUUUUUUUUAUUUUAUAAAACCAAGAUAAAAAAAUAAUAUUUGACGUUAAUCGAAGUCUUAGCUAACAUUUUUGAACUUUUAAUUUUUAAUAAAUAAGUUUGGUAAUAUUUAAAGUCUAAAAAUAUUAUAUCGGAUGAUAUUUCGAGUCGAUAUGAAAUAUGUCAGAAUGAGAUUUUGAACCCUUAAUCUUUGAUGAGUGGGUUUGAUAUAUUAUCAUAGAUCAAUAUUUAGGUGAUAAAAAAAAUUAAAUUUAAACAUCUUAAAUCAGUAAUUAAGUUAAUUAUUAUAUCUGAGUGGAGGACCAGAUCAUGAUUCGAGGUGUGCAUGCCCACUGAGAUGGGCUCCUCCUGUCUCUCUCUCUCUGAUACCGGAGGAGAAGACCGUGAAGUGGCAUGAAUAGUUAAAAGUUCUUAAUCAUUUCUCAAUUUGUUUUGGACAAAUUCCCACUCUUUUUGCAUCACACAAAAUAUCCUAAAAAAUACAAUUUUGUUUUCUUUCCUCCAAUUGAUUUGGUUUAAUCCAUUAGACCACUUGAAGAUAAUAAUAAUAUGCUAUUUUUAGGGUAUUUUAGUCGUUUGUAAAAAAUCCAUGGAAAAUUAUUUGAUGCAUUUUAUGAGAAAAAAUAACAAUAAGGGGCUUUUUAGCAUAUCAAUAUAAAUUGAAAACUAAUAGUCUAUUCUUUCAUCUCGUUGCUUAAGACAUAAGUUUAAAUGAAAAUAAAGAUAAAAUAUGAUUGAAAAGUAUAUCUUAUUAAAUGUCAUGCACCUUACAAUAUAUUUUAAAAUGAUAUAUGAUAAUGUGACAUGUCUCUUUAAAAUAUGCAACCAUACCAUCUUAAAUAAUAAAUAAUUCAUCCUCAUCUUAUCAUCUAUAGGAUUUUCUAUUUAAUUAUUCAUUAAUAAAUAUUUUAUUAAAUUUUCCUAAUAACUUCACAUAUAUCUCAUUACAAUAAUUUUUUACAUCAAUUUUGAUCACCAUUUCCAACCCAUCAGAAUCGGUCAAACGCUUUCUGCAAAUAUAUGCUGAUGCCAAUUCCCUUUCCAUUUCCUCGAGUUAAUCCAUCCUAUUGUGAAGCCCAGCCAAAGCUUUCUGCAAGUUCUGAUGGUUCACCACAGGUAGGUGGAUGACAACAGCAGUCAUCUAUUACACCACACCAAAUAAAGAAGAAGAAGAAGGAGAGAGAGAGAGAGAGAGGACAGCUGCAAUGCGGGCCUUCCGUCCUUCUCCCACACACCCUGUCAUCAACAUGCGCCCAUCAUCUCCUCCUUUCAUUCACAUUCAUUCCUUCAUUUGACAGCUUCUUCCUUUCUAAGUCUGGCCUUCUCUGCACAGCCACGCAAUAACCACAACCCCUUCUCUCCGACUAUAUAACCUCCCCCUCCACCUGAACCCAUUCCCAUCUCUCUCUCCCUCUCUCUAGGAAUCUGUGGAGAUCAUCGUCACAGUUGAUAUUUUCUUCUCUUCAACGACGAUGGAGGCUGCUCUUAAGCUCAGGCUCUUCGCCCUGGCCAUGGUGGUCGUCGUCGUGGCCUCUUCCUUGGUCGAGAAAGCCGCCGCUGCUGACGCACCCGCCCCCACCCCUACCUCCGGCGCCACUACCACCGCCCUCGCCGCACCUGCUGCCGCCCUUGCCUCGUUCUCCGCCCUCCUCUUCGGAUGCUUCCUCUACUAAGCCACAACGUCAUUGUUUCGUCACCUUGUUUCCUUUCCUUUGUUGUGAUUUCUUCAUGUAGUCAUUCUCUUCUGUCAUGGUGUCUAUGAAGAGAGAGGAAGAGAGAGGAAUAUGCAUGCAUCGACGUAUGCAUACGGCGGUGGUGGUGGUGGUGGUAGUGGAUAUGUAAUCUUCUCUUGGUGUUCAUUCAUUUAUGUUAAUGUGAUUCUUUCCCUCUUCUUUUGUCAGAAGUAAAUGAUCUAUGCUACCAUCUAAGCUUCUAAGCUUCUCAAAAAGGUUAUGGCUGCAGAACAAUUGCCGAUCAAACGCCAUUAAUUGCGUUAUGCUUUGUGCUUUGCCAAGAAGAGAGCAAUCAUCAGUUGAAGAAACUGGUGAUCCCUUUGCUCAUCAUGGCUUGUAGUUGAUUCAUUCAAUGCAUGAAGACAACAAUGAGUUGGCAAUGCUGGCUCAACAUGGCCUUGCUGUUCGCAUGGCUUCUCAGGUUCCACAGGGUCCCAUGCCAUCAAUUAUAGCAUGCUUGUUGCUCCUCCUCUAUAAUGAGUGCCCUCAAUCAAUGUUCGAGGUCGAUAGGAAUUAGAACCUUUACCUUUUGUUGGUUUCAUGUGGAACUACAUAAAGAGUUGUAGUGAUGGGGGAAAUAUCACUUGUCAACCAUAUAUACCAUUCAUUUAUUUGCUAAAUGUUCAUUUCUAAAAGCUUAAAAACUUAGUUUAUAAGUUCGUCGGGUCUCUCUAUACUUGAAGAUAAUUAUUGGUGCUCACAUCGCUCAGUACAACCAUCGCUCAUUCUAAUUGGUAGUUGAGACUUUAACUUAUAUAGGCACCCUUUUAAAAUGUAAUAUGGUGUAAAAAAAAUUAGGUUUUGAUAAAUAUUAAAAAUUAAGUUUUCAGUAAUCUUAAGUAUAUACUUAAGCUAUUAAGGAAAGGAUCCAAUUUAUAUUAAUUUUUUUACACCCUCAGUUGUCUACAAGCUGGAUUUUUUUAAUAAAAAAUAGAAAAAAAUAAUUAUGUUAAAUAAUAUACAUGGCAUUGAUAUUAUUUAUGCAAUAAUACACUAAUAAAUUCGGAUGUCUCAACAGAGACCACAAGUUGGAUUAGACUUGGCAAAUAAAAUUGAAUAAAAAUAAAUGAUGUGUAAAAUAAAAAUAAACGUAUACAUAUAUUGAUGUCAUGAUCUGCCUAUGGUAUCAUGAUAAAUAUUUUAAUUUAGUCACCAUUAAUCCUUAAAUUAUUAGGAAAUGACUCAUGAAUAUAAUCAAAUGAGUAGGUAUUUCAAGUAUAUGCCUUUAGAAUUUAAAAUGAUGAUGUAUACCACCAAGUAUUUAUUUUAAAGAGAUAUGCAUGUAUUUGAAAAGGAGUGAAAUAUUAAUAUGAUUUUGAAACUUCUGGAUUUCAGAUAUGAAAGAACACAACAUAUAUUGUUCAUAGAGUAGGGUUCAUUGCAUGUACAACCAAAAACUUGAUCUAAGUUUUAGUAAAAAUUGAUAUUUCAUGUAGGUGGGUAUGUAUAAAACCUCUCUCUCUCUCUCUCUCUCUCUCUCUCUCUCUCUCUCUCUCUCAUACACACAUACAUUCUAUAGACAUGAUGGAAUACAAGGAUCACUGAGCAUGAAUCUUUGAUGCAGAUCGAAUGCAUAUAAACAAGGGAUUCAGUGUCACUGGCAAGUUGACAAGGACAUGGAAGCUACUCUUCUAGCUAUAUGAAAAUGACAAUACUGCAAUUAUCAGCCUUCCUCUCUCAUGGUCAGUAUCAAUACACAUCUCUCAUAACUGGCUCAGCAAAGAUAUCUUUCCCCCUUAUUUUUCUUGAUUCUUUUUCUUGGUUGUUUGCAUGGCAUUUAGUCUUCCAUGCCUGACCAGAGUGGAUCUGUGGUCGACCUUUUCCUGACAAUUUGGACCUUCAAAUCACCUCCUUGUCAACAUCACUACCUCCGAUUUGCUCAAACAAUUACAGAAUAGGGUAAUAAAUUAGUGAUGAUUGAGUUGUUCUCUGUAUCAUCAAACAUUUCUCUGUUUCAGUUCCUUUGUGCAGAAUAAGCGAAGCAGAGAGUGUGUGUUGACAGUGUGAGAGAGGGAAACAUGAAACCAAGCUUUAGGCAACCACAGAAAGAAGCUGAAACGAGCACUGUAUUCGGCUGUAAUUUGAAGAGCAAGUAGAAUUAUUGCCAUGCAAGGCAGCUUUACAACGUGAUCUUAUGGCAUGCAUUUCCACAAACACAUGUAAUCUAUAGCAUUUAUUGUCGAGAAGAGUGAUCGAUCAAGCACUUGCAAUGUAUCCUCCAAAUGAGAUGUGUGCCCUCGUCAUGGGAGCUCCCCUCGCGGCUGACAGUGCCUGGUUUAGCCUUGCUGCCUGUUGCACAACCUCCUUCAUUCUCUGCAAUCACAUCACACAAGAGGAACUUAGGAUGGGAUUAGAUUAUCUUAAUUGAUCGAUGAGCAGUACCUUAUCGUGGGUGUAGAUCUUGAACUGGAUCUUAGGUUUCUGAUGCUGUCGGCAGCCAAGGAUGAAGAUGCAGAUAGUAGCAGCAGCAGCUGCUGCUGCUGAUGCUCCCAUGGCGCAGAAGGCUCCAAUACCUGUCGAUCUCCAAUUCCCCGGAGGAGGAAACCCGAAGCCUUUGAUCUCGGAUCCUGCAUGAUCUUUCUCUUCUCCCUCUUCCCUGACUUGCGAUUCCACGUCUGGUGUGACGACGCCGAUGUCUUUGAAUCCUUUGGCUUCAGCAUCAUCAUCUGAGUUAUUCUCCAUGGUUGGCUCUGAGUUCUGCUGCUGCUCCAAGAAAGAUUGUGAUGGGCAGAUGAAGUAAUUGGCAUCAAGUGUGAGCUCCUUGAGCACCAAAUCAUUUUGACUGCCAUGGCUGAAGUCCAGCAAGCUCUUGUCAUCAGGGAGGAACUCCCAGUCAUCGAGAUCCCUCUCCAGGCAAGAUUUCUCCAUGUGAUCAGAAUUAGGGACGACUGUGUGUGUGUGUAUGAGAGAGAGAGAGAAGAGAGAAGAGAGAGAGAGAGAGGACUUAUCCUUCCACCUGCCAAGACUUUUCCUAUAAAUCUAAUUCCCAACUUUUGUUUGACGACUUGCAGAGGAGGAAUGAGUUCUAAUUCCUCGAACAGUUCUUGUGCAUGAUUGGGCUGUCUGCCAGUCUCUGUCUUGGUCUCUCUCGCUCUCUCUGCUUCACACAUUAAUUCCAAUAUGCACAGUUAAGGUUUGGGUUCGUUCGAGCGUCACGAGUUGGUUGCGGCAAGGCGAUUCGAAAUGGGUGCGCCACAUGAACCGGGCGACUCGGGCGUGCGGCUCAAUUAAAUCAGGGAUUGGGUUCCGUUGAGCUCGAAGUAGUUGAUUGGGCUGAACCAUUUCAGCCAACUAAAUCCUUCCCCAUGACGCGAACCGGAAAGGACGAACCAUUGCUGCCCCUCACCCGCACGAACUGUCGCUGCCCGAGCCGCUCUCCUCCCUGUCGAGCAGCUGCUCACCCCUCCGGCGGUACCUCUCUCUCUCUCUCUCCCUACUUCCCUUCACUCUUCUCCCUUUUCCACCAGCAGCCGCCGCCCUCUCUGCCUCAGGCAGCCCUUUGGCGCCUCCGUUCUCUCUUCCCCAGCCGCCGCCAUUGUUGAUGCACCGAUGCCUUUUUUUGCUGAUGUGAUGCCAUUGGGUGCAAAUGUCACGUUUAUAUGAAAAUUAGGAAGAUUUCGACACACUUCAAAAUAAAACAUGAUGAAAAUUCUAAGUUUUUUUAAUCCAAAUAUUUUAGUAGCCUUAUAAUAUUUGUGACAAUUUACUGUGAGGGAACGAAAAUAAAAAAAAAGAUAAUAUGUUAUUUUAUUGUAAUAGUUGGAAAUUCGGCUUAGCUCAGAUUAGAUUUCAAUGGAAAACCUAUUUUCUUAAAAGGAUUUAUAUUUUUAUGUCAAAGAAAGAAACCCUCUUUGGGGAAUAUAGGAAUGUAAGCCCUAAUUUAUAUAUUAUAUUUGCCAAAUAUGAAGCUUUUCCCAUGAAAUUUUAAUCUUGCGUCGGAAAUGAUAUUGUAUUUGUCAAUGCAUGAUGGAGUGGGGACAGAACUGGAAUUUACGUAUAGGCUCCACUCUGCCUCGAUGGGCCGGGCUUGAAAUAAAAGCCCAUUAAGACAAUGCUACGAUUGGCCCAUUACAUGCUCCUCUAGGGUUUCGCUUCCCUCCCCUGCGGUCGGUUUCGCUUCUGGAUAUCUUAGCACGGGCGACAGCGCAGAGAGGGGUGUUUGGUUCCUUUUCCUCGAGCUCGUCUCGGUAGGUUGUCAUCCUUCCCGAUCACAUUACUCUUCUUGGCUUCUCUUUGAUUGGUUGCUGCGAUGUUUUUGAGUUUUGGCGAUAUGCAAUUGUUCUUUCUUUCGCGUUUCUUGGUCUUUCAUCGUCUUCAUCAGAUCAAUUUGUACAGCAGAUAAUACUUGCGUUCCCGUCAUUCUUUAAAGGUUUAGUUGUUUGCUUGCAACUUAGAAGUAGGUCAUCUAAUGCCAUGCAGUACUAAUGUGGAAGUUGCCUUUGUGCGUGCGUGAGAGAGAGAGAGAGCAGUCCGCGUUGUAGGACACGAAGGCCACAAGAACAUGUCAAUAUAAAACCCAUUUGUCUGCUAAAGUCCACAGCCUAAAAGAGGGGAAUCAGCCACCAUAGCAGUUGGAAAAAUGUACUGCUUUCAUUAGAUGGGGGUUGAACCUUAGACCUCCAGUGAUGGAUGAGAGAUGCUAUACCAUUCAAGGAUAAGAGAUACUGGAGAGGUUACUACUGUUGUUAGGAUUGUCAUUUAUUUUUAAUACAUAAUGAAAAGAAAAUUUUGUGAAACCGAAUGGCUCAAGUUUGAGCCCAACAAUCUAUUCUAUGUUUUCUUCACAAUAAUGCAUUUGUUUUGCUCGUAGUGGCAGCCAUAGUAAAGAUUGAAGAAUCAAGUUUGAGAUCAACAAUGCAUUUCCUGCAAGAUAACGGAAUUGUAUACCCAUCAAAAUUUUGUUGUAGAAUCUUUUACAAGUUCCUCCAAGGAAAAUUCUAACUUGGCUUUGUUCUAAAAUGCAUGUUUUUUUGUAUAACUCAGUUUAAUUGUGUCUAUGAUGGUUCACUUAACUUAAGAUUUUCUUGCUACAUAUAUGGUUCCUUAUGUUAUUUGCAUGAUGCAAAAAAAUUGUAAGAAAUAUUGAAAAAGAAUUGUUGAUGCGCUGAUGCAUUUUUUUGCUGAUGCGAUGUUAUUGGGUGCAAAUGUGGUUACCUGUGUCAUUUUUUGUUCAAUAUGUCAUGUUUAUAGAUCAGUCUUGUGAUAUGCAGGAAUAAAUUGACUCCUGAGUUGCAUACAAGAUGAGAUUAGAAAAGUGUUGGUUCUGUUCCUCAACCAUUUAUCCAGGCCAUGGAAUUCAGUUUGUUCGAAAUGAUGCAAAGGUAAGGCCAUGUUUUCCGAAUUAAUUCAUCUGGAAGACUGGUUUCCAGGCUUCUUCAAAAGAAAGGUGUUAUAAUAUAAAAUUGGGAGACUUGUACCAUUUGAAAAUAUGAUUGUUACUCAUAGUACUACAAACUUGGUUGUUUGUGUGACUCUUGUGCUUUAAGCUCCUUCACUAUUAUCUGACAGACUUGUACUAAUCCUUUAUAUGUCAUAAAUCUUAACCCUAUUAUGAUAUUAUUUUAAUUGCAUGUUAUUUCAGUUUGCUCUCUUCGUUCAUCUAUAUCUAAAUUGGUUAUAUCCAUCUUUCAUUAUGCAGAUGUUGUUUUGAUCUACAAAUCAUGCUUUCAUGAUGAAAUCAAAAUGGCCCUAAAUGGUCCUAGUUCAUUACUUGGAUUAUGAUUUCAUAUGAUUGUAACAGAUAAGUCUUUAUUGUUGGUGAGAGAAUGCCAUAGAUUUCAAGAUUGAACUUGAUUAUUUUCUUUUAUGUACACACACACACACACACACACACACGUGUUCUCAUUCUUUUGUUCAUUAAAUUUUGAUCUCUUGUUUCCUUUUGUUUUUUAUAUUUUCUGAAUUGCUUGAGCUUUAGAAAGGACAAGGAGAAAGGAACCCAAUGAUCCACAAUUUGAUUCAUGAUCUGAUAUAAUCUUUGUUAGGUGUAAUGCAUUCAUAUUUUUCUGUUCAUCAAGUGUUUGGCUCUUAUUUACUAUUAUUUUCAUGUUUUCUCAAUUGUUUGAGCUUUAGAAAGCACAAGAAGAAAAGAAUCUAUCUCUCAUGAACCCUCUUAGUGAUUCUUAUCUGAAGUAAAGUAGUCUUUUUCUUAGUUUUUAUGAUUUUUUUAGAAUUCUAAAUUAUUUUCAUGGAUUCCACUGAUCUGAUUCAUUAAUCAGACUGAUACUGAUCGUUCUGCCAUCGUAAGAUCUCAAUCCCUAUUUUGAGCGAUGGGCUUCUUACAGAAUUCUAGCAUGCAUUAUGGUCUUUUUAGCUUACCAGCAGUCAACAAGAUGCCAUGGAAACAGGUGUAGUCCAGUGCUUAUUGGAUGAACAUGCCUCAUUCAGUUUUAUGAAAAUAGAUGCUAUACAAAGAAUUUACUUUAAAACCCAGUCAAAUGAAGGCAUUAUGUUCAGUUUCAUCAAAAUAGAUGCUGUACCAUAUGUCAAGAUGAGAUUGGGGUUGAUUUUGAUCAGAUCUGUGUUAAAGAAAAACUGAUCUUGAUGUCCCAACAGAUUGACAUAAGUCAAUCCGUAAGUGCACGAGUUCCAAUAUGAAAACCUGAUUCAUUUGGUUUGAUUUGGUUAGUCUUUCAUGUUUUCCAAUGUUUGGACUCAUGACAGUAGUACAGUGGUGAAAAAAAACCCCAUUGGAGAAGAAUGAAAUAGAACAUGAAACUGUGGGCUCCUGUGUAGUGGGAGGAGAUUUUAUGAUGAGAUAAUAUCUAAACAUUCUAUGUUUUAGAUGAUCAGAUUGCGUCAUAAGUAUAACGGAUGGUUGUUGACUGGCAUCUGAUCCAAUUAUGAAUUAGACAAUCAGAAUAGUUUAAUUGGAUUGUACUGAUAAACAAUCAGAUUAAGAUUUGUUCCAAUAAACAGUUCAAAUUUGUUGAGAUAGCAUCAUAUCUGAUCCAUUGAAAGACAUCUUUGGGGAACUAUAUGAAGUAAAAGCUACAUAGGAACUUAGAGCCAACAUUCUUCAUUUUGUAUGCCAAGUUGUGCAGAAUAGCUUAAGCCUAUGGCUCCGCUGCUUCUGAUGAUUUAUAUUAUCAAGGUUCAGUUAUGUAUACAUACAGUUUGUAUGUCAGCCAUGGUUUGUGAAGUCUAAUGCGCAUGAAAACAUUAUUAGCCUAUAAUGUUGUUUGCUAGUUCCUAUUGUCAUCGAUGAAAGUUCUUUUGCAGAUAUUCCGAUUCUGCCGAUCAAAAUGCCAUAAGAAUUUCAAAAUGAAGAGAAAUCCUCGCAAGGUGAAAUGGACAAAGGCGUAUAGGCGAUUACAUGGGAAGGAUAUGACUCAGGUUAGAAAUGCUAGUGUGAUACUUUUUUCUGUGUUUCUUUGUUUAAGUUGCUGAAAUUGCAUGACACGAUGACUAUCUAAUGACUGCUAUCCCUGUUAAGGACUCGACAUUUGAGUUUGAAAGGAAGCGUAACAGGCCUGAAAGAUAUGAUAGGAAUGUCACAGAGAUGACGCUGAAGGCUAUAAAGAAGAUUGACAAGAUCAGAGUGACCAGGGAGGCUCAACACCACAAAAUGAGGUUGGUUUCCGUUACGAGUGGUAUCCCAUUUUCUUCAAUUUGCAAUUUAUAUUCUGAUAUGCCAUACUCAUAUAUCUCACAGGAUGAAGGGUAAUAAAGCAAUCGAGCAAGAGGCGGCAAUUAAGGAGUUGGAGAACAGUAUUAAUUUGGUCAAAGCACCUGCUGCCCUGCAGCAGGGAUCAGAAAUUACUCUUCCAAAGAUCAAAGUCAAGGUUUCUCAAUCACAAGAUGUGGGAGAGCGAAUGGAAGAAUAAUGGUAAUCUGGACAUUCAUCCAUCCUCCAAUUUAAAAGUGCCAUAUUAAGUUUUUGUUUUCUUUUGUGUGUUUGCACAGUUUAUGAGUGGGUGGUUCCUUGGAACAUUCUUCUACUGAAAGAUGGAUGGAUGCUUUGCCAUGGAUGUAGCUGAAAUAGUAGUUGGGAGAACAACAUUUUGUGCUUAAUUGUCUUGGUUGGUAAUGGAUGGUUUUUUUUUUUUUGUUUUAGUGGACACGUUAUUUGAUCACAUUAACAGAAAGCUUCUGAUGCAGCUCAAAAAGAACAUGGAAUGGUUGCAAUCUUCGCAUUUCGUGAUUGAUUGAUAUUACUAGUGUUGUUGUCAUCGAGCGUUUCCCGCCCCGACGAGGUGAGUCGAGUGCCUCAGAAUUGGUCCGAGAGGGCAAAUUGAAGCAGGUGUGGUUUGGAGGAUUGAUUGAUUGGGCUCACCCCAUGCGUGCGAGCCCUAUCGACACCACCACCUUGUGUCGCGCGAUUCGACAUGUGGUGGCCCUUAGGCACGUUGUUGCAUAUACCUUUUGCAACCGAGAAGAAACCUAACCUAAACUGUGAUCAAUUCAUCUGCAUGGCCCUUAGCCCUUGGGCUCGUGGGGGCCCGUCCGACGUUACCUUCUCCCCUCUCAUGAGGGGCAGAACCCUCCCUCCUCAUCCUCUUUUUUUACUCCAUCCUAUUUUUUUUUUAAUAUAAUAAUAAUAAUAAUAAUAUUUCUAUUUAAUUAUAAUUUUUAUAUAAUUUUAAUAUUUAUGAAUAUUUUGCUUGUACUCAAAGCGACAACUUAGCGCCUCCAGCCUAUCCCUACCCUCUUUCUCCUCCAUCGUUGUCCUCUAUCAAGCCUGCCUCCCAACAGUCUCACCCUCCCCCCUCUCUACUCGGUGCUUCUUCCGUCGACCAAUUUGUGUGUUGAACGGAUCUAUUUGAAAAAGUAUAUAUAUAUAUAUAUANNNNNNNNNNNNNNNNNNNNAUAUAUAUAUGCUCGAGCGAGAGCACCUAACGCCUAUGCCUAUAACGAUCAUAAGCACAUGUAACUGACAGCAUGUAUCGCUGCUUUAUUAUCAUCUGCUAAAAAGGUCUUGCAAUCUUAUUUCUUGAAUUCAUCUGCAUUGCACAUGAAACCUUGUAAGCUCAAUUCUCAAAAGGUGAGUAUCGUGAUCUUGCUCCUGCAUAAUUGGAUCCGUGGGAUGUCAGUGUGUUUCACUUCACCACAGCGUCGUAAUCAAAUUGAUAUCAUUCAAGCUAAGUCGGAUAAUUAACUCAGGUGUCAUAUUCUCUACCACCUACCCCCCACCCAGCACUCCUGGGAAUCUAUCUGAUGAACGAGAGAGAACUGUUAAUCGAACACUGUGUAAGAAGACUUUAGAAGCUUCCUAUGGUAGGAUAGGAGGAAGAAAGAAGCUUUACGGGAAGGGAUAACAAUAAUGUGGACUUCUUUUUGUGUUUUUAUUCGAACCAUAAACAACUUUAGGGACUUAAUAUCUAAUGCCACACUUUUAUUGUUCCUGUGGCAAUCACAAGAACUCGAAACGGCCCAAAGUUGCAGUCACAAACAAUUUAGUGAAGUCUAGUACAGGACAAAUCUUUUGCGGCAUCUAUUGCCAGUUAUCAAUCAGGAGACCCUGUCGUUUGACACAGCUAAGAAUCCACCAGUCGAAAGUUUUGAGUCAGGAACUCGUCUAUCAUUUAACUCAACAAUAAAAGUUUUUGUGGCAUGAAAUGGAAGUAGUGCAGAGUGACUAAAAAUGAUAUCAGUGGUGUGUCAUCUACAGAAGAUUAGUGAUACCAGGGAUAGCAUAUUACCACAAUAAGACUGUCUUUUGACACAAAGCUAAGAAUCUACAAGUAAAAAGUAAGGCCAAUGUUCUUCAUGAAUCAAAUUCCAACAAAGUUUUACCAGUCAGGAAGAACUCAUUAAUGUCUAUAACAUUUGUCCCACAACAACAAAAGUAUUUGUGGCUUGAAAUAGCAGUGUAGUGCAGAGUGGCGAAUACUAGUUGUAUGUCAACUACAGAAGAUCACUGAUGCUAGGAUAGCAUAUUACCAUACCAGUUAUGUACUCAAUGCCCCUUCAGGUUUCGUUUAAUGGAACCUCUGGUUUUGGAAGAGUCCGAGCGUGGCUGAGACCUCAUCCUUCCUGAGUCAUGUGGUCGCUCAGUUGAUGGAAGCACCCAUCCUCUUGUGUGCUUUUGACUGCUGUUGUUACCACUCCCUACACGACCACACAUGGAUAUAGAGUUAAACAUCAUUGGGUUAAUAUGGCAGAGCAAUUAAGCCAUGCAAAAACAAACUAAAAGAUUAUUAGGCUUUUCUGUUAAAAAAGAAACAGUCACAAAGAAAGGAGUCAAUUUCAAAGGGUCAGUAUGACUGAUGCAUUAAUCAAGGUUGACAAAAGCAAAAUCCUAAAAGGAAUAAGUUGUUUGCAACCAAAGAGCCCACAAGUAGCAGUGGCCAACAAAUGCAUAGGCCACAGAAAAUUGUUAUAAAUGAGGUUGUUUGGAUUCUGCAUAUAUAGUUGCUCUUUAACUAAAGAACAGGAAUGGCAACUGGUCUUCAAAGGCAUAGAAGCAAGCAGAAGUUGUGCAAACUGUAAAGGAGGUAAGAAGCAACACGAGGUAAUGAGUGAGAGGAGAGAAAUAUCAAAAUACAAACUUUACCUUAACCCUAAAAAUGUGACAUGUAGUAUUUUGAAUUGUAAGUCUGUAUGAGGGUUUAGUUUCAUAUGCACAUGUUGCAAGUGACUUAGAGACAAGCAAAUGCUUGCAAAUGUAUUAACUACCAGAAGAAAAACUUACAGGCAGUUCACUUGCAGGGAACCAAACACCCCGUAGUGAAUGCUUAAAGUGAGAGACUUAAAAAAGGCACACAUAAGUGAAGCAAGGUGUACUUAUUUUCAAGCAUCAAAGAAAAAGGAAGAGCAAUUCUAGAGUCCACGUAUUCCAAAAUCCAGUCCAUGGUCAAGCAAGAAACAACUGGUGGAUAUUGAUGGCCAGGCAAGCGGUAGCAAUGGCUGUCACCAUGCUACUGCUUUUGCCAAGCAAGAUGAGCAGCUUUUGCCACCAAGCCAAGAAAGGAGCAGCCACUGCUUCAGUUGACCACUGCAGUUGCCAGCAUCCCAAGUGACACUAAUCUAGCAUCCUGAAAGGUGGGAGGAAAAAGAAGAGAAAUAGGAACAAUUAAUAAAAAUUUUGCUCAUCAUUGUAACCCAUCCACAGAAUAUCAACUGGCCACCUUUGGAACCAGCAGAUCAUGGAUUGCCAAUUAUUUUCUCCUGAUACUGAAUUACGACCUUGUUGUUGUUGUUGUUAUUGUACACAGGAUACUGUCAAUUUUGAAACAGGAAUUGAUGUAUGGGUUCACAGAUGGGUCAACCAGGGGCAUUAAGUGUACAGUGGUUGCUUGAUACUGUUAUGAAUGUACAGUUGCAACGGCUUUGCCUAGAUGCAUUAGAAGAGGCUUUGGCUCACAUUAAACUCACCCAAGUGCAUAGGUGAGCCAAGCAUAUGCCUGAUUUAACACAGGUAUAUCAUGUUAAUCCUGAACCAACUCAACAGACAGCGCCCUUGCUAAAACCUUUGCAGAACAAAGAUUUCAUCGUGAAGCCAUUCAAAUUCUAAGCAUAAGAAAAUCAUUGUAUUAGUCACAGUGAUGAAAAAGAUCAUUUUAUCAAAUAUUUUAUUGACACUUCUUUUUGGUGUUUUGUAUUGACAAUCACCUACCAGUCGACCACCAAAACCAUACUGUCGAAUAAUAGUGCAUGCGGCCACCACCAAUCCAUUAUCAAACAGAAGCUGAGUAGGAUCUUACAACAUACUGCAUAGACUAUUCUAUGCACCACAUCAGAGGCCAUCAUAACCCUUAAAAGCAACCAAAUUUCAACUAAAUUAAGUUCUUCGGUGAAAAUAUACAGGAUAAUAUAUUCUCUUAGGAAAAUUUCCAAGUUCAUCCUGGAAACAAAUUAGAGGAACAUUGGUAUUCUCUUCAUCCAGCUUUUGUGCAUUUGAGUGCAGCAUGCUUUUAUGAUAAUGAAGUAACUCAUACUACAAGAGAAAGUAUAAAAUGUCAUUGAGAACUAAAAUUAAAAGAAAGGAGCAAUGUAAAAACGUGCAUCAUCUGACAUUUCACUCGUUCUUGAAAAUUCUUCACUUGUACAAAAGAUUUUGCUGAUUGACUAACCUAGUUCAUCAUGGAAACAAAGUAGAGAAGCCUUGGGUUUUUUUUUCCAAUAGAUUCUAUGCAAUUGAGUGCAGGAAAGCUACUGUGAUACUGGAGCAACUCAUAUUUGGCCAAUUGACAUUGACUAGAGCAAGAACAUUACAAUUGAAAAGUAUGGACAAAUGUCAUUGAACACAUUACAUACUAGUUUUCGAAGAUCUUCACUAGUCCGUAGGUUUUAUCUUAUGUCUAAUCUCUUAAUUUACUACCUAUCUAGAGCAGAACCAAUAUUCAUCAAAAUCCAAUGGGAUUUCAAAUUUUAUACUGCUCCACUAGCAUUCCUUCCUAUUUGGAACUCCCAAUUAACGUGACCACAUGCACAUAGACAUGGAAGUAUGGUGCUGAUAUUAUGUGAACAAGACUUAAGAGAAAAAGUUUAACGUUACAGUAAAACCGAUCAUAAGAAAGGAACUUCUCUACCCUCAGAAUUAGACAAUCUACAACAACCCCAAUGCACCAUGGGCAUUGCUAAACUACCAUGAAGAUUAAAAUUUUCUAUGUAACAUGCCCUAGCUAAUUUAACAAUCUCAUCAAAAAUUGAAAAUACUAUUUUAACAAUGUUACUUUCGUAUAGGGCAUGCCAUUCUAUUAGGGAGAGGUAUACAGCUACACAAAGAUGCAUGACAAAAAACCUUUUUACAAAUUAUAUUUUUAGAAAGUACGAAGAUCAACCUAAACUAGUAUGUCUUGAUGCAACAUAGUGACUUUUCAUUUGAACUUCAUUCAACUAGCCCCCUAGAAUUUGGUGUCUCUUGUUAAACCUCUGCAUUUCAUUUUUUUUUCCUUUUGUUCUUCCUCUUCCAGAACUACUAUCAACUCCUCUUCAUCACUUUAUAUGGUGUCUUCCUUGCACUUCUCCUCGACAUAGGCUAAUACUGCUAUUGUUGUCUUCAUCUAUUUCUAUUAUAAUUUUGACUAUUAUUGUGUUAUCCAUGAUGUCAAUAAAAAGUUAACUAUAUAUCCAACACAUUUAGAAUGUUCUAUCGAAACAUAAAAGAAACCCAUAUAACUAGAAACCCAAAGAGCUAAGGGAUGAUAGGGCAAUAUAGCAUAUGAGGCUCUUACCGAUCUGGGCCCAAGAGGAUCACCCUUGCAAGCAAAGAUGUUGUUUCUAUAACUCUAAAUAUUGGGCACCAAGUCCUCGAAAGGUGCAAUUUUACAAUAGUGCUAAGGCUCAUUAACGCAUGGAGACAAACGGCUAUUGCCCAAUAAUAUCAGAGUAUGGUAAAUCCAAUUGAUGCAAAUGACAAGUGCAUGGCAUGACAAACCAAAAUCUCAAGGACUUGAUCAUCCAGAGGAAUGGUUGGAGAUAUUGGACAUCAGAAUACUCCAGAACUAUAUUUUACUCAAGGGAGCCACUAUGUGUUUAGAGGUUAUGAUCAGGCACAAAACAUACAUAUAUCAUCAUUGGUGGAGCCCUGCAACAUGAUGUGGAAGCCAUGCGAAGAAAUUGCAACAUGACUUUCCUUCAAGGGAAAGGACCUACUUUGAGAACACAUGCAGCAGUGUGAACUAGCUAAUCAAAAGGGGCAAGGAAAUGACAGUUAGCAGGACUCAACUAGCUAACAAGUGCAUCGGAUAUUUUGUAUUGAACACACAUCAAUACCAAUGCAAAAUUAACAAAAACUAUCCAACAACAAGAACUUAAUGGGAAGUAGUUCUUUAUUAUGAAAUCCAACAUAACACCUAGUACAUAAACCAAGAAGAAGCCACAAAAUUAUAUGUUAAUAUGCUCUCAUAUAUUUAUUUUCUCACUUCAUGCAGGAUAUUAACCAUAGUGCUCCAUGAAUAACAAUAUACAGAAGACCACAACAUAUUGUAACUGGCUACAUAAUCAAAUGCAGAAAAAUCAUUCAAUAUAGUUCAGUCUUAAGUUAGUUAAUCCGAAAAAUAACUACUUACUUAAGUUCCGAUCAUCAAGCAAAUCAAGUCCUGGCUUCCAUCCAGGCAAGUGUUGUUUAGCAUUCCCCUUCCAGUCUUCCUCGAAAACAGGCAGCUCAUCUGAUGGUUUAAAGCAAAUUGCAGUUAAAUGAAAUAAACAAAGAAUAUAAUCAUCCUCUUAGCUGCAGCACAAAAUUGUGCCAGACCUUCAUUCAAAUUAUGUAAUGUCUGUAGUGUGUCUACCCUCCCAUCUGAAUUUAGUUUUCUUGUUAGUGAGUGACCCUACAAAGACGAUGAAAAGGGUGCCUUAAGUAAUAUAGCAUAUAAACUACAUUUAACAAAAAAUGAUUCAUUAUAAUCAAGUAUCUCGAAAGUAUAUUUAAUGUGAAAAAUAAUCUAUGUUCAUAUGUACUUUGUCACGGAUCCCUCGAGAAAUCCUGUGUGUAGCUCUACCGGUAGUAGUAUCGGCCUCCUUGUUCUCCUCCAUAACAAACUGUCAUAGUCAAGAAGGGAGGUAGUACUAAUAUAAAUAAUCAGAAGAUCAUUACAGUCAUGCAAUGUUCCAAACAAAUUUACAAAAACAAAAAAAAUAGUGCAUUAGUUCACUAAGCCUGAUUACUCACUCCAUCACCACCCAUUCUCCUUGUAGUAGAUGAAGUGUAAUAUGCUCCAUUUGGACCACCAUAAGUCACUGUUGAGCUCUGGAAAGUAAUAGAGUGACUAUGUGAUUGCAUCCUAUCAGACUGGUUGAAGUUGUUCACAUAUUGCAUACGCCUUCUCUUAUUUGCUGCAAAAACCAAACCUUCUCAGGAAUCUUGCACCGCUUAGAAAUAUUAUCAUUUUGAACCCUACAACUACUAUGAAAAAGGGAACCAACAGAUAAGUCUAUACACCUUCAACUACUUCAUCAGGAUCCUGAACAUACGGCUCUUUGCUUGUUCUAGAAUGUUUUCUUGGGUUCUCUUUCUGCUCCUUGUCAGUCUCUUCUCCUCCAUUAUCAUCAUCAGACAGUUCUUGAAUGAUCGGACCCUUUGACUUAUUGACAUAAGGAGCCUGCUCCAAGAACCCAACUCUACUGGUCUCUCCAAAAACGCUCCCUCGAUCAGCAAACAUGCUGGGACCAAACAUGCUUGGUCGGAACAUGCUAAGGCCCAUCAAGCUUCCAAAAGGCUGCGUGAAGAAAGGGUCAUCGAAGGGAUCUCUCCCACCAAAAAAGCCAGAAAUCAGACUCCCUGGUCUGCUGAGGCCACCAGAUCCAGCAAAUGGAUCCCCAAAACCAAAGAAGUCACCCAUACCGCCUCUGCCAUUCUGCAUAUUCUCUGAACAUAAAUCUGAACACAUGGGAAAAAACCGAGACUGUUCAAGAAAAUGUAAAUGUUACACUAAACAAAAGGAAAAACGCGAUCGAUGAGAGAAACGAAACAAGAUCUUUUUUGUUUUCCCAACAUAUUGGUUGAAUCGAUUAAAACCAUGACAGAACAAACCAAUUGCAUAAAAAUCGAAAAUGUCAAACCCAAUAAUUCGGCUUUAUCCAUUAUCCAUAUGUGACAUUUCUCCAAAAUCCAUUCUCAAAGCCCAUUUAUUCAGUUAUCAAGCAGGCAGAAUACCAACAAAACCAAGUGAUACAAGAACACGUCAAUAGGGAACCAACAGAAACGAGAAAAACGGAAAAAAAAAAAAAAAAAGUGUUUUCAAAGAUGAUCAAUAGAUCAAAAUACUACAUUUUUCAUACCGACUAAACGAAAACCAAAACACCAGCAACCAAAUCCAAAUAGACCGAACUCCUAACCCACAUCGAAUGGAAAGCCAAAGUACCCUAACAGCAGAUCCGAAUCGAGGGUAGAAGUCUCGAUCAACACUUCCAUGGGAACCCUAGAAAACGUUUGGGUACACGAUCCGAGGAAAACAGAUUAAAAAAAAAAGGAGAAUGAAGAAAAUUACGGACCCCGAGAGAUCGAAUCGGAGCGACGUGGCCACCGGUGGCGGCCAACUCGAUCGGCAAGCCUCGGAGAUCGUAAUCGAGCGCCCGAUCUGUGGGAGACUCGGGAGCGAUCGACGACGAAGACGAGAGGUUUCCGCGUCGUCUUAUAACUGGAGCAGGAAGCAACUUAAUGGAACCGACAGAAUAAGAAAAAAAAAAAAACAUUCAUUAUAUUUAUUAUAGUAUUACAAAGGGCGAUUUUAUUUUUUUUCAAAAAAAUACUUUCUAUUAUUUCUCAAAUAGUAUUCCUAAUUUUUAUAAUAUUUUUAUUUAACUUAUUUAUAUUUUUUUAAUAAUAUUAUAAUAUUUGAUUAAGUUAUUAAAAAUAUUAAAAAUAAUAUAUUAUUAUACAUAUUAUAUCUCUUUAGUUGUGAUUGCUCGUACACCAUUAUAAUAUAAAAUUUUUAGACUUUAAUUGAUUUGAUUGAGAUUAUGGAUCUAUUUAUAUCAUCUAUAUUAUUUUUGUUAAAUACUGUAGUAGAUCAAAUCACUAUAACAAGCUAAAAUACUAUAAUUGAUUAAAAAAAGUAUCAUUAAGUUGGUGAGAAGUAUUUUGGAUAUUAUUUAAAACAAGAGACACCAUUUGAGAAAAUUAAAAACAAGAGAUAUUUUUGGGAAUUUUUUUUCUAGGAAAUUACCCUAUUAUAAAUGACCAAUUUCUUGUAUUUUUAGCAAAUAAUACUCCUCAUUACUAAAAUGGGUAGUGGGAUCCAUCGUUUAUUCAAAAAUACUAUAAUGGAGUAAUGUCCAAUUUUUUUUCUAUUAUCAUCCUUUAACAACAAAUAAACAUAUAUAUAUUAAAGAUUUUCCAAAGUAAAUUCCUAAACUUAGAAUUAGGCAAAAAAAUUAAAAAUUUAAAAUAUAUCAAAACCUUUAUAAUUUUUAUCCAAAUAUACUCAAGUUCUCGUUCAAAUAACUUUAUAAUACCUCCAAUUGAAUAAUGAAGUUGAUAAUUAUAUUAAUUUUUAAUAUUUUUCAAUAAACUUAUUGUCUUCGUUUCAUAAUCAAAGACAUAGUAAAUCAAUUUGAUUUACUACUAAAUUGAUCUAACCAAGUCAAUCUAAUUAGAUUUUCAAUGAAAAAUCUAAAACAUAGAUGUUGUAAGUUUAUCAUUUCCGGAAAAAAAAAAGAAAGAGGUAAGACUGUCUUUAGGCAUAUGAAAAUAGGAUAAAUUAUUCGUAAAAAAAUCUAAAUAGUUGAAGUUCUAAGUAUAUUUUGUACAUACACAAAUUCUAAAUAUUAAUGAUAAAUCAUUAAUGUUUUUUCUUAAUAUACAUAAGCUAAGUGUUCACUUAAUAUCCUAAGCAAAACGAGUGAAACAAGCAAAAAGGGAAAGCAAGAGCCAACUACACAUUCACAAUAAUUUAUUACCAUUAUUUUUUAAAAAAAUAUUAUAUGAAAUAAUGUAUUUGAUGCUCACAAGUGUAUUCAAAGCUGAGAUUUAUCAUUUGUGUAACAAAUACAUUAAUUAACCUAUAUGUCUCAAUAAAGAUAUUACCAUUAACUUGUUGACAUAACAAAUAACAUCAAACUUUCUAUGUUUUAAUUGCAGUAGUCUCACUCUACAUUUCCAUGCAACAACAUUUAAUAUAAGUUCUUGACAUCUAUUAAAUUAAAAAAUAUAAAUAAAAAAUAAAGAUUGACAAGAAAGAUUCGAUAAAGGACAAAAGCUAGUGCUUCCACUACGAUAAAGACGGAUAUUAAAAGAGAAACAGCAAAGAGUACCUUACAGAGAAGGCGAAACAAAAACUAAGAUAAGUUUCAUGUACAUUCAUGAUCAGUCUCUAUUUAUUAAAUUUUUAUGAUAACACAUAGGUAUUAGAUAUCGACAGUACUUAUCAUAUUUGUAAUUCGUUAUAGAUUUUGGUAAUACCUAGGAGAUUGGCAAGAGGCGAAAUGGACCUCAAGAUAAACAACGGAGCAAAAGUUGUUACAACGACUAUUGGUGAGGUCACCCUACAUCUGUCUAGUGGAGCUACUAUUACAUUGGAUUUAUGUUAUUUUUUCCUUCUAUUAUCAAAAAUAUUAUUUUUAUUUUAUGUUUGACAAUUAGUAAAUAUAAAUUAGUUUUUGAGAACAAUGGUUAUUCAGUAAUAUUGGAAGAAAAAAUCAUCAUAAGAGAAACAUUGUAUAAUGGUUUAUUUAUGCUAGACACUGUUCCACAUAUUAUAAAUACAAGUAUGUCUAAGAAGAAAUGAGAUGAAGUGAACAAUGCAUACAUGUAACCUUGUAUGCUAGGUUAUAUCCACGAGGGAAGGAUUCAAAAGUUGCUGAAUGAUGGAUAUUUAGAUCCAUUCGACUAUGAGUCAUAUGCAACUUGUGAAUAUUAUCUUUGAGAGGAUUCGAAGAGUAUUUUUAUUUUCUUUUAUAUAUUCAUAAUAAAAUUUAUAUGUUUGAAAUCUUAAAAUUAAGUUCAAAAUGCUCUUAAUACUACUCAACAAACCCUGGGUUUCGUUUCCUUCCUAUUUAGGAAUUUUAUAAUCGCUUCAUAUAUGAUUCAAUCUUCAAAUUUAUGAUACAAUAAUCAAACGCUCAUUCCACAAAAUAAGUAAUCAAUUCAUAUGUUAAUAACAUGGAGAAACCUACAACCUGUAAGCAUAUAGAGAUUUGUUUAGUCUCUAAGAAUCAAUCCCACACCUCUAACACUAUCUUAGAUAUUGAUAAUAAUAUUUAGUCUCACAUUGAUCGAGAUGUAGGAGAAUCAAGGAUUUGUAAGUCCACCCGAUCACCCUUAAUUUUAGAGGUAUUUUUUGAUACUCAUGAGUUUCGAAAGGACAAAAUCGUAACGACAUUUUUAGUACCAUCCAUUUUUAUGUUUGAACCUGAUUAUAAGUAUUUGACAAAUAUCCUUCAAACUAUUAUAAAAGUUUUUAGUAUGACAUAUAUGUUAUAGCUUUGCAAAUAAAAAAAAAAAAGAGUAUUUUGCUCCAUUAAAAGCUUCCUCAUUUCGGAUCUUCCAUAUGCCUUUAAAUGGGCCGGGUUUAAAUAUUUAGCCCAAGAAGGCUCUGUUAAAUAUGGCCCCCUCGGUCGUUGCCUAUAUAAAGCAACAGACGUUAGGGUUUCCCGUGCUUUCCCCGCGGCCGCCUUCGCUUCCGGAGAUCUCAAUAGAGAGGCGAUCUUAGCAGGUUCGUAAUCGAAUGCUGAGAUGCUUUCUUUUGGUCUUUUAGCAACUUCUAGGGUAAUUAGCGACAAUCAGUAUUACGUGAUUCCUGCUGGUUACGAUGAUCUUGUGCCGCGGAUGAUUUUUGCGUCCUGCGAACGAUUGUUAGGAAAAUAAGAUCUGAAUAUGGUGUCAUUUAUGUUUCUUAAGAUCGUAAUAUUUAGGUUUUGUAAUGCUUGUUGAUUGGGACCAGCGGCUAUAGUGAUGUGUCCUCAAGAUGGUCGAUGAGGAGAAGUAAAACAUUAGUUUUAACUUUCUUUGCUAGCUAAUCCAUCAUCCUCCAUAUAUAUGAGGUGUACAGUUCGAUAAAAAAACCCUAUCUUUUUGUCUUCUUAAAGAUGCAGUUUACUAGUUGUGUAUCAGGUUUGAGGCCAACUAUCUAUUCUAUAUUUUCUUAACUUCAGAAAGGGUUGAUGAAUCGAGGUUGAGACCAACAAUUUAUUUCCUCAAGAUAAAGGAAUUGUGGUGAUCAUCAAAAGAUUUUUGUAGAACCUUUUUAUAUGCUUCUCCAAGUAAUAAAAUAGAACUUGGAUGAGUACCAGAAUGUCCAUGUUUCAUAUAUCUUGGUUUAACUCUAUUCACAAUGGUUCACUUCUUGGUGUAUAAACUGUGAAGUAUGUCAUCCUCCAUAUAUGGUACCUUAUGUUACUUGACACACAAAAGUCUUAAGAAAUUUUAAUGUAGAAUUGUUGAUCUAGUGCUGUUUUUUUUUUGCUAGUAUGAUGCUGUUGGGUGCAAAUUGGAUUAUCUGUGUCCCAUUUAUUUUCGCAAUCAUCCAAUUCAUUCUUGUUUUUAUGUUUUUGAAUUUUCUUCAUCUUAAGUUUUGCAUACCUUCUCUUUGUAUCUUAUAAAAUUUAAAUAUUGGGGCUAAUUUUUGGGACAAUCUUGUUUUUUGAAAUUGAUGUGGUUGAUGAAAAUAUAAUUUGUAGAGAAAAAUGCUGCUUUCCCUCUAAUGCAGAGUUGCUAUUAGCCAUAUGAUAUCACCAUUGAUCUCACAGCCCAUUUAUUUGCUUUCUCAAUGGGACAUUGUGCCAUAAUGAGUUUGCAACACCAGUUCCAGUGGCAUUUUGCUCACUGUGUCUCUUUGCCUUUAAUCUGGUUUUAAUUGUCAAGCUGUUCUUCUGGUUUAUGUUUAUUUUUUUUUAAAAGUUGAUUUAUGCUGAGCACUUGAUCUGAUGUAGUCUAUUUAACUUGUUUGGUCAGCAUGGAUACUCAAGCUAAACUUGCAGUUGUGGUGAAAGUGAUGGGCCGAACUGGAUCUAGAGGUCAGGUAACCCAGGUCAGGGUUAAAUUUUUGGAUGACCAAAACCGGCUGAUCAUGAGGAACGUGAAAGGCCCUGUGAGGGAAGGUGACAUCCUCACCCUUCUUGAGUCUGAAAGGGAGGCUAGGAGAUUACGGUGAUGACUUUCAUGUCAAUGUUGCCUACAUUAGUAGGGUAACUCUAUUAAGCUACAGAUUUGUCCUUCUCUGCCAUGGUCUUUCUGGUUCUAUGGCAUUAGUUUCUAUUACUUAGUCGCUUUAUUAUGAGCUGUAUCGAGCCAAGAAACUGUUUUUUCCUCUAAUGAGUCAUUUAACUCUCAAUGUUUGAACAUUUUUUAUGCUCAUGUCAUCUCUCUCUCUCUCUCUCUCUCUCUCUCUGUUGCUCUGCUUUUCUAUUAAAGAUGUUUUUGACUUACCGCACGUUGUGCAUUGAUGGCAAGUUCUAUGUAGAUGAGUUAAACAUGAACUUCGCAUCAUGAAGCGUUUAUGAUGUCUACCGAUGCUUAUCUGUGGCUUCAGUGGUUGUGUUAAAAAAUUAUGAUUAUAAGAUGAGGAUUUAAAUCCUCAAUUAAAUUGUUGAAUCGCCGGUUCUUAUUGUUUUUAUCAAUUAAUUGAUAUAAAGAAAAAAAAGUUUGAAGUGUUGUUUAGAAUUCAUUUGUGUUUCAUUUUUCUUCAGUUAGUUUGGAAUCGAAUUAAAAUUCAAAUCGUAAUUCUUGAUUGUUGAUUGUUUUUUGUGUUGUAUUGUGAUUGUCGAUUUUUUGUCGGUUUGAAUGGUACUGUGAUGUCGGAAUUAACGUACAUCACAUGGUAGUUAAACAAUAUUAACUAUUUUAAAUCACCAAGGCACGUUAAUGACAUGAAAUAGAUCAUCAUAUCAUUAAUCUCGUCACUACUAAAUAAUAAACAGAGCAUUGAGUAGGACACACGCAUCAAAACCUAUAAUAUUAAUCUAAUUAGAAAACCAAUAUAUUGAUCUCAGAUGCUCUCAUCACAAUCAACCAUUUGUGCUACCAAUUUGACCUCUACACCACAGAUGUCAAAGAUAUUUAUAAAUAUUUUUUGAAAUUUUUAUCCAUAAAUUUCGAAAACUUUAACAGUCAAAAAGGAACUUUAUUUAUUAAAUUGUAAUAUCCUCUCACACGUGUAAGUUCGAUUGGUAUAUAAAAUUAAACUAUAUAUAUGGGACAAACUAAUUAAAAGGAAAAUAUUUUACAUAAAUUAUAUAUAGGUCUAUACAAGAUUUAUUUCAUAAUUCACUGUGAUAUUAUGGUAAUAUUUUUGAAUUGGACACUACAAAUCCCAAUAGCUACUUUGAACAGUUAAAAGUGUAUCAUUAAAUUAGUUACGCAGUUCAAGAUUCAUAUACCCACUUUUAUCUCACACAGUAAUCAGCACAUCUGCGGCGGGACCCGUUAGGGGUCCACUGACGGCUUCUCACGUUCAGGGUCCAAGCUGUUCCCAACCAUAAGAUUCCCGCACCGCGACCUCUUAUCAAAUAGCGGUUCACCUCCACCGUGUGGAUGGCAGAGUAGGCAUUCGUCGGUGAGCUCCGACUCUACCCCAUGGCUCUUCUCUCCUCCUCCUCACAUCGAACCUCUCUGGCUUCUUCCUGCCCUCAAUUCUAUGCUGCCACCUCCCACGCCGACUCCAUCGGCUUCCGACAUCGCUCGCGCCUCCCUACUAGACCGAGACCCCCAAUCUCCUUCCUUCGGGCCUCCUCCCCGACACACUCUCUCUUAGGCGCCAUUCCUCGCAGCCAUGGCCGACCUCGCGGAAGAUCCCCGCGUUUCUUUGUCUCGGUAUGUUCUGCACGUGCAUCUCCCUGAAAAUGCUCGAUUUUGAAUUGCCCAAAUUCGAUUCUUUCACAUGUGACGUACAUCGGUUUGCUAGUGCGGAUAAUUAUCAGGAAAUGCAUAUUUAGUUCUUGAUGUUCUGCUGCGUUCAAAAUCAUCUUUUUCAGUUUUUAUAUGAUUUGAAUGCGUUAAGAAAAUUGGAUUGAUCGGUUUUAAGGGGAUUGAGAUGACCGAGUAUGACCUUCAAUUUCAUUGCUUAAAGAUACAUGGUUUCUGGAACUUAAAUGUCAUUUUCUCACAGGAAGUUCCUUUCUAGGGAAUAUAAGUCUGAGACUCGCUAUUUCACAGGAAUAGAAGAGUAGGCUAAUCUUGUAUUUGUUUUGAUUUUCAUUUCCAAAUGUCGUAGUAUGCUCGUGAAAAGAAUUAAGACCUUGAAUACUCUUGCUUCUCAUGUUUUCGUGUCUUGUUUCAUCAUCAAAGUGUGAAGCAGCAAACAUACUGUUUGGGAACUUUCUGCCAAAACCUAAAUCCUUGCUUUUAAUGAUGCUUACUAGUUUCUUCUUGAUCUUUAUUUAACCAAUUCUCAAAGAAAAAUGUUCAUAUCAUGCAUAAAACUUCUGUUUACUUUCAGUAAGCCUUCUAUUCUUUUUCAAAAUUUGUUGAAUUGUAUAGAUUUCUGUUAUGUUCUAAAUUCUACAAACUAAAACAUUGUUCGAGCCUCUCAUUCAUUUCAAUCUUUUAUCUAAUAAAAGAAUUUGUCACAUGUUUUUGGUUGUUUUCCUAAAUCAUUAGAUAUCAUCACUCAACUACUUUAAGGUUUCAUAUUAUUGCAUAAUUUGCUUGAGUCUGUUGUCCUUGUCUUGAUUUUUCAAUUAUAAAUACAUCAAAAGUAUAAUAUAGACUUAACAUUCAUCUUAGUGAAACAUUUUUUUAAAGAAAAAGUUCCAUCAGCAGAAAUUGCCAAUUCUCAGAUCUCAUGCUUCUAGGCUAUCAUGGUAAUAUUAAGGGUAUGAUCAAGCACCUUGUGAUGUUGUCAUAGUGCUUUAAAGUUCCUUAUCACUUACCACAUCUUAAUGUCAACUAUGAAGAAGGGUAUGGUUCAGAGUUCAUUUUUUUGUUUUGGUUUGCUUGUUUAUACUGGUGCAUUCUCAUGCACAAUUUCAUAUCUAUACCCAAUAUACCCAACAUACCUAUAAGUUGACCUGGCGUAAUUCAGUACAAGCAAUGCAGUCUCAUGCUGUACUAGUUGGCCACCACCACAGGCUGGAAAAUUGAUCGAAGAGAGCAUCAUAAAGAUUUCAAGUUUACUUUUUGUGCUAUCUGUUAAAUACUUAUCCUCUCUCCAUUUAAUAUUUUAUUGCCUUGUGAACCAAGUGUUUGUUUCUUGCAAUCACUUUCAGUGCCUUGCUUGAACCUUCUGAUUUAUAUCUAGAUCUCACAUUUAGAUAUACUUCCGCUGUCUGACCUUGUUAGAGUGUUCAAAUUUCCUAAAGGUUGUCUAAGUGAGUCCAAUUUGAAUAUAGUACAAGAUACUUGGUUUGUCAUCAAGUUAAUUACCUGGUUUUUGAAAUAUGUAUAUUCAGUAGUGUUGUAAUUAACUAUUGUAUUUAAUUAGCUCAGUGAACUACAAGAGUGUGAUCUUUAUUGAGGGAAUGAAUUCUGCAAGAAUUUAAUUAAGGUAAUCUAACAUAGUACUCCCUGUGCCUAUUUCAAGAAAAAGGUUGGGUUGUUGAUUUCUUAACACAAUUGCAAAAUUUGGUGGAAACAUGAGUUGGUUGGGUUCUAAUUUUGGAACGGCUAUUUUCUGAUGAUCCCUGUUUUCAGAAUACAGAAUUUGUUCUGAAAGGCUAAGUCAAUAGUUGCUAGUGGUUGGUUUUGGAAAGUCAUUGUUUGGCACGCAACAUACUGAAAGGACAAAGUUGAAGCUUUGCCAGACCUACAAAAGUCACCAUUACUUGUAAAGAAAUUACAAACUAUGAUAAAAAAAACAGGUGUCCUGAUAAAUUCAUAUUAAAAGACUACUUAUUGGUGAAAACUUAAUAGUUCUGAUAAUUUUGCAUCAGAACAAGUUAUAGAUGUUAACAUGUACGCAACACUAGUUAAAAAUACAAUGAAAUUCAUUUAUCUGCAAUCUUAUUGUUAACAUGUAUGCCCUACUGGUCUGUCGUGAACUAGAAAUACACGUUGUCAAAAUCCAAUCUGCAUAAAUUUGUUCAAAUAAAGAUGCUGAGGACCUAGUGGAAACCAAAAUUGAACUGCAAUCUUUUGACAUUACAAUUUAAGGGCCAAAUCAAAAUUGAAAAUCAAACCAAAUUAGAUUUGGAACUUGUGUUUGAGACCAAGCCAACAAUUUUUUGUGUUGUUACACUUUGAAGGCCAAGUUGAAAUUGAAUCCAAUUAGAGGUUUCAGCCUCUCUGAUGUGAUUUUAGCCAAUACAUAUAUGUGCAAAACAGCAACAAGGUAAUGUAUAGCAUGCGCAAACAAUGUAAUUCGUGAUUAAUUUGUAGGUACAACUAUUGCAGCUUUGUGAACUGACAGAAAUGUCAUGAUUCAUAUACAUAACCUUUUAUUAGUUUAUUUUCAAUAAAUGAGGUUUUAUAACUGAGAUUCACUUCUGUUUAAUAUGGCUUUUUAUGCAUAAUUUCUCUGUUUAGAUAUAAAGAUUCAAUACUUCUUUGGAACUAUAACUAUGAUGCCAAAUUUGCGAGAUGAUGACAUUAUAUAAUCAUUGUGAUAAUGCUCUAAUAUUUGGAAGCAUCUUACAAAUUUUAGCUGCAACACCUUGUGUACAAGACUAACAAUUAUAUAGUGUUCUACAAUGCAUGGUUGUUUGCAAUAUGAAUUGGUUUAACUUGAGGCAAUUGGGAAGAACUGCCCAGUAUACAUCCUUUGAAGUUCUAGACUCUUAGCUUAUUCUUCAUUGCACCUUCCAAUAACCAUGUUUGUGACCUUUUCUCUUGAUAGGAUCGAAAAUAAUUUGACGUCUCUGUGACAUCUAUUAUGAAUCAUGUUCUGCCUUGUCAACAACAUCAAAGUGAAAGCAAUUAAAGAGUAAUUUUUCAGUCACAAGUUUGUUUUCAUCCUUGAAAAACAUAUCAGUCAAAACUUAAUGACCUCUUAGUAUCUUUUUUUAAUUUUCUGCUACUCAUGUUUGUUUUCUCAUGAUUUGUGAAAGAUAUAAAUAUAACAUACAAAGGUAUAGUUAUCUUUUCUACAUAAACAAAUAACUGAAUUAACUUCACAUGCUAGGCAGGCAUGUUCUAAAGCUGAUGCUGCUGGUUCCAGUACAUUAACAACAAAAUUGUCAGAAUUCAGAGAUUCAUGUUGGAGAUUUUUAAGGCCUCAUACUAUUCGUGGGACUGCAUUGGGUUCCAUGUAAGAACUUCAGAAUUUAUUGUAUAAAGAUAGUGAACGAAUUGUUCAAAUUUUGAUAUCAAUCUUGAGUUUAGUUCUCUAUAGUUCUAACUCUCUGCUGUUUCUCAUCUGUGCUUUGUUUUUCUGUUUCUUUUUUAUUAAUGACAGAGCUUUAGUUGCAAAAGCUUUGAUGGAGAAUCCAAAUCUUAUAAACUGGUGGUUGACAUUCAAGGCAUUUUAUGGACUUGCAGCUCUUAUUUGUGGCAAUGGUUAUAUAGUGGGCAUUAAUCAGAUUUAUGAUAUUGGAAUUGACAAGUAUGAUAAACUCUGCUUGCAACUUACCAAAUCUGUUAUAUGUAUGAUUUUGUUUACUUAAAGAUUUUACCUCUGUGCACAUGACAUAUCUCAUACUCCUAUUAAUCUGAUUGCAUGACCAUCUGUUUCCUUAUCCUUUUUCCUUCUCAUCUUUGGUAACUUGUGUUUCUGGAAUUUUGCAGGGUGAACAAGCCAUAUUUGCCUAUAGCUGCAGGAGACCUUUCAGUUCAGUCUGCAUGGAUUUUAGUAUUGUUAUUUGCAGCAGCUGGCCUUCUGAUUGUAGCAUGGAAUUUUGGGCCAUUCAUUACUUCCCUUUAUUGUCUAGGACUUUUUCUAGGCACUAUAUAUUCUGUUCCUCCAUUUAGAUUAAAGAGAUUUCCAGUUGUGGCAUUUCUUAUCAUUGCCACGGUAUGCUUGGCCUUCUUUUCUCUUGAUUUUUGCAAAAUUAGAGGCUUCUACUUGUUCCUUAUGCAUAUUUUGAUAUAAAACUGAUCAAACAGUUAAUCCUUAUGAUACUGAAGUAUCUACUAUCUAGUUCUGUGGCUGCAUGAAUGCAAUUUAUCUAAGAAUUGGUUAGCAGCUAGGCUGAUUUGUAAUUCAUGUAGACAGUGUAUAGGUUACCCACAACAUGGAACAAUUUGUGCACUAACCACAAUUUUCAUGGAUAAUAAAUGUCAAACAUUUAUUAUACCUAUAACCUAUAGGAGAAAUUUAUUUUUAUGCAAUUAAUACACCCAUAAAUCUUAUCUAAGAAUACUUCUAAAUCUUCUUAGAUAUAAUAGCUUCAUGACUUCCUCAAACCAUGGUUCGCUUUAUCGGCCCGUACUGAUGUACCGACUAAUUGUUGGUAUAGUACAUACUGAGCUGUACCAAACCAUACCGAAUGUAUCAAUACAUGAUACAUGGGGUUGUACCGAUGUACCGCCCAUACCGGUCUCCUAUCGGAUUGGUACGUAUAGCCCGUAUCGAGCAGUGCACCAUGGUACGACAAACCUUGCCCCAAACCAUAUAAUACUUUGAAUUAAGACUUGGUAUACUCAAGUUUUUAACUUAUGACAUUUCGAAACAUAAGGAAUAAUGAUGAUAAAUAUCAUCAUUAAUUAUUCCAAACUUAACCGUGAAAGACCCAACUGAAUCUCAUCCUACAUCAAUUAUGUUAAUGCUGGUCUCACUAACUUACAUGGUCUUCUUGAUCAAGUAGUAAUUUGCAUUAGUGCAUAUAGGGUUGACAAUAUAUUCACACUAAGUUUGCAAAAUGCUGAUCUUUUUUCUGGGUCACUCAUGUUGGGGAUUGCUCGACAACCAACUUUUGUCAAUAGGAAAAGACAGAUGAUGAUUGUUGUUUUCCUUUUGCUAGUGAAAAGUAUUUUUUUAAACAUUAUUGUUUCUGCAUAUUCAAAUACUGAUUUGUACUUAUUUACCAAUCUGAUAAGGACCAUGGUCCGAUACUAAUCAAUGUUUUAUUAUUGUCCUUUUGGAUAUAUUGAAUGGCAUGGGUUGGUAUGCCCCCUGAGGCCUGCUAUACUGGUAUUGCAUCUGAUCGAUAGAUUAUUAUUAAGUCUAAAACCGAUACCAAACAAAGACUUAAAUUCUUGUUUGUUUGUCUUAUCCUUCUUGGUGUUUUAUAUGGUUUAUAUCAUCUUUAUUCAAUUGGUUUUUUGCAGUAAUGCUUUUUCACUUUUUUUUUUGAGCUGCUAUUUUUAUUUGAAUUCCUUAUAUUCUCCUUGUACAUUCUCAGUUACUUGAUUAUACCAAAGCUUAUAAGCAAUAUGCUUAUAUUCCAAAUUACAUAUUAUGAUGGCUAGAGAUUGGCUUAUAUUUGUUGGAUAAGGUAUCUCUCAAUCACUAACUUUUUUCAACGGAAGCAAAUUGCGGAAAUUAAUUUCGGGUAAUGAGUCUAUGACAAAUGGUUCAAGCCUGGCUUAAGCUGGUCCAUAUACCAGACUGCUCUUGGGCUGUUAUUUACCACGUAUACUGUACUGGUCCAAGCAUUAACACAUUCAAUGGGAGCAAUAUUGUAUAUCAUUUUUGUAUAACUUUCCGUUCAAUAUGUGAAAUUAAUACAAAUUAGAUGUUGUUCUGUUUUAUGAAAUAGUAAUCAAGAUCACAUUCAUAAUUUCUCAAGCUGUAUUCACACAUACUCAGCCUUUUGGUGGAUAUCAGAUCAUAAUUAUUUGAAUUCUCAUUUCUUUUCUUUAUUUUUAUGGACAUAGUUUGUUCUACUGAUUAUCUUGUCUUUUUUUAUGACUACAAUUCCAUAGGUACGUGGCUUUCUUCUCAAUUUUGGUGUAUAUUAUGCUACUAGAGCUGCCUUGGGACUUUCUUUCAAAUGGAGGUAAAGAAUCUUUUGAUAUUAAUAAAUAAAAUUUGUUACUGGAAGCCAUAUGCAUACAAUAGUUUGUAACUGUAAACUAAAAUAUGUUUGUUUGAGCAAACAUGUAAAUGUUGUUUGUGCAUCUCAUUGCAGACACAUGCAGAGAUGAUGGUGAUGUUUAAUCCCAUAUAACAUCUUUCUAUCUGCAGUGCACCUGUCACUUUCAUCACAGCCUUCGUGACACUAUUCGCUUUGGUCAUUGCUAUAACAAAAGAUCUUCCAGAUGUUGAGGGAGACCGCAAGUGAGUAAUGAACUGCCCUCCAAAUUUGUAUGUAUGAUACAAAUGUCCUUCACAUUUUUCUCAAUCUUGGGUGCACUUGAUACACCUGACUGCAUAUUAAUUUGCCUUUCCAAGCACAAAAAAAACCAUGAAAUCUCCCCUGUACCAGGAAGCUAAACUAUUGCAUUGUCUUAUAUGUGAUUAAUGAAGAUAUUAGUAGAUUUAGACAUGUAUAAAAUAUCAGUCAAAAUGGGUUUGGUCCUCCAGGCAUUUCAUCUUUGUCUCUAGAAAGUCAAAGCAGAUCACUCUCCACAAUCAGGUUCUAACCCGUAUUUUAAGGCCUAGUCCAAUGCUUUCAAAGCAAAGGCUUCUGUCAUAAGCACAAUGUAUUCGAUAAAUGUCUUGCAUGAUGCACAUGUUAACCUGUAUGCAUCUAUUCUUCUUGCAUCACACCUGUGCAUAGUUAAUCAAUAUAUGCACAAAAGACUUGGAUCUUAUGGUACAUCCCAACCUAAAAGUCAAGUUUCUGUAAAUGAACCUCAGAUGGUAGAUGGCUACAUGAGAAGGAGAUUGAAUUUUGUUAAUGAAAACAUUUGUGUUGUCUCUGAGGUUUUUCUCAAGAAAUGUUCCUUGUCUUUUUCAUUUGCUCCCUGCUUAUGAUACUAUCUAGAAGUCUUUCUCAGGAAAUCAGGUUCGAUUUGAAAUCUUUUUUUCACUGUUAUUUUGUUAGCUUUACUUUUUCCUUCUUUUAUUUGUCUUCCUUUAUUUCCAUUUUGUUGUUAACACAAUUUAAUCAGAUUUAGAGACAGAACUAGUCUGCCCUGUCUGCCAUGGGCCUUAUUCUUUAGUCAUAGUAGGCAAAUUUUAUUAAUCCAUUCCCUCAUCUUCAAUUUACUGUUUCAAUCUAGGGUCUAAAUUUCCUAUUAUCUGGAUCUAGCAGAAUAGGCAUGCUCAUGUCCUUCCUCUUUAUGUCUGCACUGGUCAUCGUGCUUCGGGGAUAUUCUAGAUUGUCAUUUAGCAUAUUAUUGUAUGCAGAAAGUUUUAACCCAUAUAACUUAUAUCUUAUCCAGCUAACUGGCUUCUAUGUUGGCAAGGACUGCUUCUUGCUUAAAUCAACAUUAGUUUAACAUUGGGCACUGUAUGAUUAUCUUCCAUAAACCAUAAUGAUCUAGAGCUUUGCUCAGUAUGUUAAACUGUGUUGUCCUUGAAGUCAUAUAUGAUGCUGCUGUUUCCCCUUUAAACUUUUCUGACUCUACAGUUGUUCUUUGGAGAUGAGAUAAACAUUCACGCAAACAAAUUGUGAUUAUAAUUGUAAAUAUACUGACACUUGGAUCAUGUAUUGGUUCUACCAUUGAAACAUUAUUAGUUACCUUUAAGUAAUACUUGGUAUUUGACCCCAGUAUUCAUUUUUUUUGGCGAGAAAUAAGUAUAGCCUGUCAACCUGAGUACAAGCACUUGCACAGGGUAAUAAUACGUUGACUCAGAGUUUGGUCAUUACAUGGUUCACAUCCAAUUUAGAGUAUGGCAGUUGGUUAAUUAAUUUGAAGUGUCAAUCAAUUGGUCUUUAGUCAAUCUUGAGAGAUGCAUUGAUAUAAGAUUAUUUUACAGUAUGUCACAGCAUGAAUGUUGAGGGUAUUGCCCUUCCCAUGUAGAGUUAAAAAAUACUUGUACAUGUCAUACGUAUCAAGUAUUUCUUCCUUGGCUCACAUAUGCAAUUCUUCUUUAGAUUUCAGAUCUCAACCUUGGCAACAAAGCUUGGUGUCAGGAACAUUGCAUUCCUUGGUUCAGGUCUCCUAUUAGCAAAUUACCUUGGUGCUAUUCUUGUCGCAAUUUAUAUGCCUGAGGUGAACACAUUAUCCAAAAUCCUUUUUGCAAGUCUUGGUUCCUUCUUAAACUCAGUGCUUCAAUAUUUCUAAUGUUUGUCCACCUCUUUGUUAUAUGGUUUCGAAACUGGCUUAUGUCAUUGUAACUGUUGUUGGCAAAAAUGAAAGAUCUGUUUACUUUUCAUUCAGCUUUUGGUUGUAUUAACCGAGUGCUUCAGUGCAAGCAGCCAUGAUCUUUUUGCCUUUUUUUCUGAAUUAUUGUGCAUUUUCUUUCUCUUGAAAUCUGCCUUUUGUUUUACAGGCUUUUAGACGCAGCAUAAUGGUGCCAGCACAUGCUCUGUUAGCACUGGGAUUAAUUUUCCAGGUUAUAUCAUAUCUAAUUUCCCCGUGUUUAUAUUGCACCUUAAAAAACACUUCAAGUUCCUUGCCCCUCGUGAUUAACUGAUAACUCCAUUUAUGUUGAUAAUUCAUUUUGAAACUUGCCUUAAGAAGUUCUUGCUGAAACAUGGCAAACAACUUCUUGAUGAUUGGACUUUUUUUUUGUAACUUCUUAUAGAAUAAUAUAUUUUUUUGUUGAUGCUUCUUACUGUACUAUAUCAGAUUGGGCAUUUUGUGAAUCUUUAAGAGAUAGGCAUAGAGCUUGCCACACAUUACAUUUUUUGCUAUAAUUAUUUAAAGUUAAGUUGAAUUAAACCUAUAGAUGAUACUUAAAUGUUGUGAUAUAGGUCAAAUGAUCUAAGGUUCCAAAUACCAGACUUACCAUCUUGUAUGGUCUGGUACUUAAUUGUCUAAUAGAGGAUGAACAGGUGGGCUGGCCAAUUUCACCCAUUCUGGCUCAAAAUAGAGGUUUUUUAUUUUUUUAAUUUUAUUUUAUACAGUUGAAGACAGUUGUUGGCUGCCAACAUAUAGUAAAAGAAUAUAAUAUAAAGUAUAGCUGAGAAGGCUAUUGGAAAACACUAUUCAGAUAAGAUUGUUUGGACACCGCCACCACAGUCUCUCUCUCUCUUCUCCUGACUGUAACCACCUCCUCCAUCAUUGCUGCCUUGGCAUCCACCUUCUCCCAUUGCCACUGCUGCCUCCUCCUUGCAUCAUUGUUGCUGCUGCCUCCUCCAACAGUAUGCAAAGUCAUCUCUUCCACUUCCUUCCCCUCUUUCUCCUCCUAUGCUCACUCCUAUCUCUUCCACUUCCUCCCCCUCUUUCUCCUCCUAUGCUCACUUCUAUCUCUUAUCUCCACUCCUCUGCCUCCCCUUUUCUCGUUCUUUUUCUUUGGUGCAUGCCAUUUAGCACAGGGCACACCAUGUGUCAGCAUGCUUCACGUGCUGAUUGCCAGAUCAGUACAAGUAUCAGACCAAAAUUUGAAACCUUGGGUCUGGGCAUUCACAUGAAAUAUAUUCAAGCUGAAUGUAUACAGAAUGUCACAUAAAAAAUAUAGUUCUUUUUUAAGAAAGCAGCUUCUGUAAGUAGUUAACAGUAAAGUGAAAAAUUAGUUGGAGCAUACAUAAAAUUGGAACUUUACUGAGUGCAUGUUGGGUUGCUCCCUGAUUGCAACAUUUUGUAUCUACUCCACACGUAUGAUUCUUUGAGAAAAGGUUGGAUAAGAUGGACAUAAAUUAAAUUAAGGCACUGUUUUAGAAAUGAUUUGUUGCAUGGGCAUCCCAGUUUGGUGGCUAUUAAGUGAAGGUUCUCAUGUUGAUCAUAAGGAAAAACUUAAAUGGCCAGCUAGGAAAUAAGUCAACAUCAGGGGGGAGUUCUCAUGAGGCUAUGGAUAUAGGGGAAGAAAAUGAACCAUGUAAGUUUAGUUCUGUCACGCCUUAUGAGUUUUACUGGCAGUUAAGGAUUUUACAUGUUGGUUAUGCUAACCUUGUUGGUUGAUGCUUGAAGCUUUUAACACACUAGCACAGUACGGCAUUGGUCAUGCUAAUGUACAAUUUGCUAAUGUUGGCUGGCACUCCUUUGUUAGCACACACUGGAUUAGGACCUUACAAGCAUGAGGGUACAUCCUGGAACAAAAUGUUAUUUUGCUACUAUGUAUUCCUAUGGAGAUAAAUGCUUGAUUGCAAAUAAAUUGUAUAGUUACACAUUGUACGAGGGAUUUGCUAGGUCCAAUCUUGAGGCCUACUAUUUAUCUAGGAUUAAUCAAACUUGUCCAAAAUUAUUCAUGGCAACCAAAAUCUACCUCAGACUCAACCAGAAGCUAUUGGAACUCAAUCAAACCUCUGCCAUUGACAAAGUUCAUCUGAUGUCAGUCUAGUUCCACCGGUUUCAGUUAGUUACUGGGUUGCUCGGUUCCAGGAUUUUAGCCAGUUACCAGUCUGGUUGGUUUCAGUAAGUUCUAACUGGUUUAUUGCUAUUAUCGGUUCAUUUUGAGAUCUAAUAGCUGAUUUUGAUCCUGACUUGACGUAGCCAAUUUAUGCUGAUUUCUGGUUAUCAAGAUCGAUUUUAAUUGUCAUGGUUGAACUUAGCUCAUUUUUAGCUUUGGAGAACCCAAUUUUUUGAUUGCAGAAUUUGAUUUGGCUAGUUUGUCAAUCAUAAUUCCAUAAACCUUAGCACAUCUGACUUAAUAAUAUCCUGCCAAUUCAUAUACGUGUAUUUUAAGCUUAUAUUUCUUUGUGUAUACGAAACAAAAGAUAGUGUAAAAUAUUUGCUUUUUUUUUUCUUUGAAUUUGAAGAUGGAGUUGGCUCUCUAUCUUUUUUUUGUCUUUUCUUUGUCUCUUUAUUUUAGAGGAUAUCCCUUGUAUUCCUAAUAUUAAGCUCUCUUCCUUAUAUGAUUAGCUUUAUAAUCUUCUUAUGCAUUAAGUUGAGGGUACAUGUGAUUUUCAGGCAUGGAUUUUGGAACAAGCAAAAUACACCAAGGUAUGAAUUAUCACUAUAUACUGUCCAUUAGUUUCUUAGAUAAACUCUACUCACAGUUUUCUUUAUCAAAACCUCAAGAGAUUGGUGAUACUUUUUUCUGUAACAUUGGGAUAGGUUUUAAAUUGAGAUGUAGAAAAAGCAAAUAGAUGACUGGUGAAGAAUAUUGCUGAGAGCACAGCAUCCUUCUCAAGAAUAGUCUAACCUCUUAAAUUCUUGCCUUUAAAAUCCAAACAAUCUAAUGUGCAGAGCAAUUCAUACAAAUCCCUAUCUUGGUACAUUAUAUACAUUAAAUCAUUUACAGUCAUGAGAAGCUAGUUAAAGUUUACAAUCAUCGCUCUUAAAUCAUUGUUGAUUUGAGCAAAAUAAAUUUAGUCUUGGUGAAAACAAAUUUUAGUCCUCAAUUAGAUAGUGCUAUUACAAGAAAAACAAUUGAAACUAGGUGAGACAUGGCUGUGCCUGUGCCAAAACCAAUUUCUUACUUAGACCUGAUUAAUCUCAUAUCACCGGGAUGUUUCCUUGUGAUGCUUUUAAAUAAUUUUCAGUCAUCACUUGUUGAUUGGGUGAUAACAAGUGACUCAACCAGUUUAAGCUAUAAAAAGAAUUUGUUUGUCAUUAUUUAAUGAUAUUUAUUUUAUCCUUCUUUUUCCUUGCAGGAGGCAAUAUCACAGUUCUAUCGGUUUAUCUGGAAUCUUUUCUACACCGAAUAUAUCAUUUUUCCCCUUAUAUAGCAAAACUUAGAAUUUUCUAUUGCUUGUAUCUCUGAAUCCUUUUCGCUUAUCCUUCUAUUUCUUGAUCAAGAGAAAAUUUGUAGGGAUAAGUGUCGUAGAAGAGAUUGCCCUCUUGAGAUGCAUGCAUAGAGGAGUACACACAGUGGGGAGUGCCAGUUUUGUUCCUGAAACUGACUGAUCCAAGGGCAUGUAUUUUGCAUGUUUUAUGCAGUUAUUUUAUUAGGUUAAUUACUCAGUAUUUUAUGUGUGAAAAUUGAGGAUAAACAGCUAUGUAGUUUUCUCAUUGACCAAUGAUAAUUUAUUUUGAAUGAAUUAUUCUUCCACGGACGUCAACUACUUUUUGCAGUGUGAUACUGCUUUGUGCUGUGGGUGUUGUUUGUUGAUGAACAUUUCAGUAGAUGGGAACCUUAUUACAAUAUUAUUUUGUAAAAUUGCAUAUAUAUAAUUCAUAUUUAUCACAAAGUUAUGUUUUGUGUGUGUGUGUGUGUGUAUAUAUAUAUAUAUAUAUAUAUAUAUAUAUAUAUAUAUAUAUAAUAGUAACUUUUGCCCUAUAUUUAUUCCAAACUCGAUUUAUAGAUAUUUUAAUCUAAAUUAAAUCAGCAAAAUAAACAUGGAAAUAGCAAAAGAAAAAAAGAA
Molecule: long non-coding RNA, 87278 nt
Filed under: Musa acuminata (dwarf banana)
Lineage: Eukaryota; Viridiplantae; Streptophyta; Magnoliopsida; Zingiberales; Musaceae
Description: long non-coding RNA (MACU_LNC002112)
Source: RNAcentral